CGGCCUUCUCCCGGGUGACCUUGCCGUGGCUGACGAGCACGGCGAGCACCUCGGUGAGCGUCAUGAGCGAGUGCAGCGUGACCCCGUUCGCCGCGAGGUUCUCCCUCCCGCCCUGCUCGCGGUCGACGACGACGACGGCGUCGGCGACGACGAGCCCCUCGUCCCGGAGCGGCGCGACGGUCUCGAGCACGGAGGCGCCGCUGGUGACGAGGUCCUCGACGAUGAGCACGGUGUCCCCGGCGCGGAAGGAGCCCUGGGUGCGCAUGGCGGGAGGGGCGCCGGCGCCGGUCUCGUGGUAGCGGCGGAGGAUCAUGGGGAUGCUGCGGGCGACGGAGAGCACGGAGGCGAAGGGGAGGGCCGUGUAGGGGACGCCGCAGAGGAGGCCGUAGGGGCGCGUGGAGGGGAGGGAGCCGAGGAGCGCGGCGACGCGGGAGAGGAGGCGCGGGUGGGAGACGAGCACGCGCAGGUCGAGGUAGAUCGGGGAGGUGAUGCCGGACUUGAGCACGAAGGCGCCGAACUUGUAGGCCUCCACCGCGUGCAGCUCCAGGAUGAGGGACUCCAUCGCGGCGGCGUCCAUGGCGAGGACCGGCGACGGCGAGGUAGGGAGCGUGGUGUGGUGUAGUGGGAGGAGGGAGGAGACGGAGGAGCGAGCGAACCUCUGGCAGUGUGCAGUGUAUGUACCACUGGCGCUGGGGGGUAGUGUUGACUAAAGCGUGACUUUUCCAUAUGAGGAGAGGAUGAGGCGUGCUGGAGAAGGCGCCGCCGUCACGUCAGCGCGAACGUGGCACCGGCUGAGGAUUGAUACGGUGGGGUCGGGGGGCGCGGCGGCUAGAGCCGGCAGAUUCGCUUUUUUUCCUUUUUAUUUAUUUUCAACCAUAACAGUACAACAAACAUUAGAAAUAAUAAAAUUAUAUCCAAAUUCAUAUACCACCUAGUGACGACUACAAACACUAAAGGAGACGAAAGCGCAUCGCCGUCAUCGCCCCUCCCUCCCUAAAGCCGGGCAAAACUUGUUAUAGUAGACAGUCUGGAAGUCGUCGUGCUAAGUCCCCAUAGAAUCAGCACAGCAGAACAACAACCGUAGCGGAUGAAGAGUAGUGUAUAUUGGAAGAAUCCAACCUGAAGACGCACCAAUGUAGAUGAACUACGACCAGAUCCGAGCAAAUCCACCAAGGACAGAUCCGCCGGAGACACACCACCACACGCCCACCAACUAUGCUAGACACACCACCGGGAUGGGGGCUAGGCGGGGAGAACCUUAUUCCAUCUUCAGGGAGCCACCACCGUCUCGUCUUCCUGAACAGGACACAAACCCUAACAAUACUCUAGGCGGGGAUAACCUUAUUUCAUCUUCAGAAGUCAUCACCGUCUCGUCUUCCUGAGCAGCACACAAACCCUAACAAUACUCCAAGGAAUAUCUAAAAACAGAACCCUCUAGCCUGCAAGGGCUGGGAUACAUUGCGCCGCCAUGGCCCUAAGGCUACCGAUUUGAUUCAAGGCCAGCACUCCACAAACUAGCUACUUUUGAAAAAAUAUUUGCUUUUUUAUAUGCCAAAAAAUGUUAAAAAUAUUGCACAUAUACUCUCUCUCCGUCACAGCAACACUUAUUUUGGAAUGGGCGGAUACUUUAUACGGAGGUGUAGUAUGUGCUGGUGAAUUUCUUUAAUGUAUAUUUUUGUAUGUGGUGUACACAAAAAAAAUAUGGGCUUACUUUUUUCUUUUUUUGCCACAAAUAUAUUUCUUUGGCCCACAAAUCGGAAAACGUAUUAUUUAAUAAAAAUGUGAAGAUAUAUAGAGAACACAUUUAUUUGUCUGUUCUAGCUCCCAUAAUUAGAUGUGAUAUACACUCGUUAUUACACCGUUUUCAUUCCAAAUAAACUGAAUGUAUAAUCUUGUCUCAAGUCAAAUUUCUCUAUAUUUGACAAAAAUUUAUAGAGAAAUAUGUUAAUAUUUGCCAUGCACAAAUACUUUUUUUAAUGGUGAACAUGAUAAAACUAAGUAGGUUGUUGUAGAUGUCUGAUAUAAUGUCCUGCUCGCACCGAUCCAUAUUAAUUAUUGCUGACUUAGUACAAAUUAAGUACAAUUAAUAUAAAUCUAAGAGAGUAAUAAAGUUUUACUUUAAGACACAAUCAAAAAAAGGUUUUGGGUUAAUGGAAAACUAGGAGCCUGUUCGGACUCCCUCCGGCUCCGCGACUCUGUUCCGGAGCGGAGCGGCAGCUAGUUCUAAUUUAUGGAGUGGCUAAAAGAAUGCUCCGCCCGCUCCGCUCCGUGACCGAGGAGUGGAGGGCUGCCGAACACAGCCUAGAACUCGAGUUAAUUCAUAACAAAAGGAGUAACAAACAACGGCCAGCAACUCCCUUCGCUGGAUUUUUUGCACGGUCAGACAAAGACACGACAGAUGCUCCUGAGCAGAGCACAAUGGAUGGUCUUCAUAUCUUCAGAAAAUAAUUUCGAAAUGGAGAUGCAGAGAGCCAAUAAUAUACCAGCAAAAUUACUUGUUAGUCAUGCAUGUUUCCAGCAAAAUUCAGAAACUAAUCCCAAAGAAAACAAAAGGCAAAUGCGCGUUCAUUUUAAACCCCAGGAUAACUAGGAAGCAUUCAUGUCAAUGCUACACCACUCCUGCAACUAAACAGUUAUAGGUUUACUGGAAACGAUCUAGCCGCCUCACCAUUAAGGGGCCAAAAUAACAUCAUGUCCAAUAAGUACGUACUCCCAGCAGCUUCAGCGUGUGAUGUCCUCCACUUGAGUACUUCCAGCAUCUUCUUCGGCGCGCUUCCUCUUGAGCUUGCUCCCGUCCAGUCGCCAUUGGUUCUGGACGUACGCGACGACUUCUUCCAGGGUCGCUUUCCGGUCCUCCUUGUAGUUCCACAGCUCGCUGAAAGGAUAGCGGCUACUGGGAUUGUGCUCGUUGAUUUCGAGCAGAGCCUUUGUCACCAAGUCACAGAUCUGCUCCCCGUGUUCUUCUUUCAGAGCCCGGAGCUUCUCGUCGUCCUCACAGAGAAUUUCCUACAGCAGAGCACGUACUGUUAGACGGACGGCAUUUUCUCCAAGCCAAACAAACUAUUAUUCACAGCUUCAAAGCCUGCAUUUCAUGGAUAUGCCAAGCUUGCUGUUACAUGCGUGUUAUGAUUAACUUAAGAUACGGAUACUCCAUUAGUAUAUAUGGUCAUAUAUCAUUGCAGAGAGUUAUGUCAAAUUUACACAACGAGUGUUCCAAGUAGGUGGUAGGUGUGAAUUACAGAAUGUUCAGGAAAAACAACUCUUCCACAUGGUGGCAGAGCUUCACAGACGACGUAUAUGUCAUGAAUUUCAGAAGCCUACCAGGAUAUACCCAAUUAGCCUAGCAUUGGAUCUAGAAUGGGAAGUAACAGUAAUAUUGUGCAACAUUUUUUUGUCGUCUAAGCAAGCCCAAGCAGUGAAAACAAUUCACAUUCCUGAUUCAGUUGACUAGCGUGCAUUUUUAAACGGUCGACAUCCCAACAUAUAACUCUGAGCAAACGGUAGAUAACUGACAUAUAACCUUUUUGAAGAAAAAAAAUAGUAUAGAGUUGACCAUAUCAGAGGAAAUCGACAAUUAGAAGAAUCCAACACUUGAAUAUAGAGCAAAUCACUAUUUAUUCAAUAAGAUUCUGUAGAUUCUGACCCAGAGCAGCUACCUAACACACUAACAUAAGUUCUAGCCCUCAAGGACAAACCUGGAAUUGCUCCACAAAUUAUAUUUUUUGAAAAUCACACCACAUUUUUAUUAUGUGUCUUAGGUAACAUAUAUACGUCUAAAUAGACAGACUCAGUAAUCAAGCAUCCAUGGAAUAAAAUUAACUAUUGUACUUAAAAGGGAAUUAAAUGUUUCAGUGUUAUAUAAACUAAACCAAUCUAUUAAACAAUUCAUUGUAAAAUCUGCAUGUGGUAAAGAACAUUUGGAGCAUACCAUGAAAAAAAGAUUACUCUCUGCUAUUUUGUUCCUUUUGGUAAGAAAAUCUGGGAGAGUAAAUUAAACUAAGCACCUCUAAUUUCCACCAUUAGUUCAUUAAGAAAUACAUGUACUACAGAAAUGCUUGCAAAGCCGAAAGUCUACCAUGAAACCACUGACACACGAUAUUAGAGAAAGCAAAUUGUGAAGUAGCAACAGUAAAGAGAUAUAUACCAUUUCUUUUCCAUCAACCAUGAUAGCUUUAAAAGGGUGCCAUUUUGGAUUUCUUAUCUCAUUCUCCCAUUUUUCACAAAAUAAGGCAGCAUGAUAACUUGAUUCAGCAGGUUCUGACAAUUUCUGGUUGAAAGCUUUUUCAAGUGAUUCCAGGUUAAGCAUGCCCAUCUUUUUGAUGCCUAUAGAUGUUCGGUCAGUUGUAAGAUCCUGGAAGCCCUGUAGAGCAUGCAACAGGUCAGAAGGAGAAUGGAUUUCAGCUGUUAUGCAAAAUCAUCAACAGUAACACAUCGCCAUCUCAUGGACAGGUGCUCAGUCAAUGAGGUAACUUACACGUAUCAGUGCCUUCCGAGCAAGCUGUAACUCAUCAUUGGAUUGUCUUUCCUUGGUAAUCAAAGUCCGAACAAUUGAUUCCACUCUGUCAUAUUUGUCUUGCAGCUCCUCACUCUGUUCAGCCAUUUUCUUCUUUGAUUCAGAGUCUUCACCUUGCAUAGGUUUCACUGCUUCCAAUUUGCUCUGCAGCUGCUUUGUUUCCAACUCAAGCUUCUGCUUGGCAUUCAGUUCCUGAUCUAACAUGUGAAAUAAUAGAGCGACUUGUUUCUCCCUCUACAUUAACAGUACAGAGAAACACUCAGAUCACUAAGCUUCUCAAAACAAAAAUUGGAAAAACAAGUUAUGAUCCUUCUUUACGUAUUAUUCAAUAACAGAAUAUCAGAUGAAAACUAAAACAGGGGGGAAAGAAAACCAGUAAUAAGCAGUUAAGCAGAAUGCUGGUAUGCAAAAAAAGCAAAUAGCAAUCAAACACCCUACUCAGACCCCCAAAAAGAGAGAAAGAAGAGAAAAAAAACUACCAUAAUUCCAGGAGAUAUUCAAUACAAAAUGCAAGGUAUCCACACCUGUUCUUUCUCUUCCUCAUACUUCCUUUCUUGGGAGAUACUUUUUGAAGCUAGUUCAUCCAGCUUCUUGGAUGCUAAGUCAAGAUCAAAUAUCUUGCACUUCAGUUCCAAACGAAGCCUUUUAUUCUUAUCACGAAUCCUCUCAUAACAUCUACGAGCAAGCUCGUGAGUCUUGUGAAAUACUUAUACAAGCGUUCAUUUUGAAAGACGAUUAAACACGUGAAAGCUCAAAGUGUGAGCACUGAGAUGCAUACAUGCAUAUAACCAAACCAUAUCAGUUCAUAUAAUGGUGUAAAUAGCAAAAGAUCAUCCCAAACCUUCGGCGUAGAACUCCUGCGUUUGCUCCGACAUCCUGUCAACACGUUAAAUAUGAUUAUUGUUUUUUUUUGACGAAAAAAGUGCGCGCUGAUUUCAUUUUAUUAAUAGAAAGGCCGAGAAGGCCGAGUUACAGGUUUACAUAGACGAAGUUAGAUAUAUACAUCUAAACUGCAGUUUUUGUCUACAUUCGUGAUGCCGCCCUCCGCCAUCGCUAAUAGUACCACCAGCAACAGAAGAUGAUUGCACCGCCGCCUGAAUCCUGACCACCGCCGCCUGAACCCAAGUAAACCGCGGGUCUUUUAUUUUUUCUCCUUCUGUUUUCUUUUUUUCUUAGAUUUUCUUUAUUUCUACAUCGGUUUACUUUGGUUUUUUACUUUUUCAUUGGUUUUCUUUGUUAUACUUCAGUUUCUAUAUUUUAACAGGUUUCUUUGUGUUUCUUUUUUUUCGUUUACUUGGGUUCCAUUUUUUUCUUAUUUUUUUGUUUCUUCAUUUUUCAGUUACAUGUCCUACAUUUUUAUUAUACUCCCUCCGUCCCAUAAUAUAAGAGCGUUUUUUACACUAGUGGGAGUACAUGUUAGUGAACACUUUUUCAAAUACACAGUCAACAUUUUCUAAAUACAUGUUAAUCAUUUUCUUAAUAUAUGGUAAACAUUUUUUUUGAAUGCUUGCUCACUGUUUUUUCAAAUUCUUGAUUAAUUUUUUAAAUACAUGAUCAAAAUAUUCAUCAUUUUUUAAUGCAAGGUCAAUAUUUUUUGUAUACUCAUUUAACAUUUGUCAAAUGCUUGAUCAAUAUUUUUCAAAUACUCGCUCAACAUUUUUUCAAAAUAUUUUAUUAACAUUUUUAUAAACAUGAUAAAAAUAUUUUCAUUAUUUUUUUAAUACGGUCAAUAUUUUUUGUAUAUAUAUUUAACAUUUUUCAAAUGCUUGAUCAAGGUAUUCCAAAUACGUGCUCCACAUUUUGUCAAAAGCUUGAUUAACAUUUUUUUCAUAGAAUGAUCAAAACAUUUAAUAAAUUUUUAAUACAUGUUCAACCCUUUUUUUCUCUAUACACAUCUAACAUUUUGUGAAUGCUUGAUCAACAUUUUUCAAAUAAUCGUUCAAUUUUUGUUUCAAAUGUNNNNNNNNNNNNNNNNNNNNNNNNNNNNNNNNNNNNNNNNNNNNNNNNNNNNNNNNNNNNNNNNNNNNNNNNNNNNNNNNNNNNNNNNNNNNNNNNNNNNNNNNNNNNNNNNNNNNNNNNNNNNNNNNNNNNNNNNNNNNNNNNNNNNNNNNNNNNNNNNNNNNNNNNNNNNNNNNNNNNNNNNNNNNNNNNNNNNNNNNNNNNNNNNNNNNNNNNNNNNNNNNNNNNNNNNNNNNNNNNNNNNNNNNNNNNNNNNNNNNNNNNNNNNNNNNNNNNNNNNNNNNNNNNNNNNNNNNNNNNNNNNNNNNNNNNNNNNNNNNNNNNNNNNNNNNNNNNNNNNNNNNNNNNNNNNNNNNNNNNNNNNNNNNNNNNNNNNNNNNNNNNNNNNNNNNNNNNNNNNNNNNNNNNNNNNNNNNNNNNNNNNNNNNNNNNNNNNNNNNNNNNNNNNNNNNNNNNNNNNNNNNNNNNNNNNNNNNNNNNNNNNNNNNNNNNNNNNNNNNNNNNNNNNNNNNNNNNNNNNNNNNNNNNNNNNNNNNNNNNNNNNNNNNNNNNNNNNNNNNNNNNNNNNNNNNNNNNNNNNNNNNNNNNNNNNNNNNNNNNNNNNNNNNNNNNNNNNUUCAAAUACUCGCUCAACAUUUUUUCCAAAUGUUUCAUUAACAUUUUUAUAGACAUGUUCAAAAUAUUUUUAUUAUUUUUUAAUAUAUGGUCAGCAUUUUUUCUAUAUACCUUUAACAUUUUUCAUAUGCUUGAUCAAUAUUUUCCAAAUACUUUCUCCACAUUUUGUCAAAAGCUUGAUUAACAUUUUUAUAUAGAAUGAUAAAAACAUUUCAUCAUUUUUUAAUACAUGGUCAACCCUUUUUUCUAUACACAUUUAAUUUUUCAAAUGCUUGAUUAACAUUUUCUAAAUAUUUGUUCGACAUUUUUUAAAAUGCUUGAUUAGCAUUUUUAUAUACAUGAUCAACUUUUUUUCAUCAUUUUUGCCAUUUGCUUAUUUGAAAAGAACAUGGGCUGAUUUUGUUUCUGAACUUAGCACACUGAUUACUUCAUAGAUUAGAACUAAAAAUUGAAAAUAAUAUCUCUGAGGGAAGUGAUGUGUGUUGCAUUUUUUCCUUGCUUCUUAUCUAUGUCUUCAAGUUAUUGAUUACACUACCGGAUAGAUGGUUCAUUAGAAUGUUUAUAUGAAGUAUGCCCAUAAUUCUUUGUUGUUUAUUUUAUUGGAAAAAGGGUAAUGCAUCAUGGAAUUGUGGUCAAACAAGAUUUCUUGUACCAAUGAUGAAACAACAUGUGGAUGCCUCCUAAUGGGCGAAGUUCUGUGGUCAAAAUGGAUGGACAAAGGAGUUGCAUCAUCUAAAGCAGAAGUGGGAUGCAAAUCAAAACCUAUAUCUCAGGUACCUAUAACACUUUGGUAGUACCUCUCCCAUUAUUUAUUUAUGCAUUACUUAUUUACGAUGAGGGAGUACAAAGCGGGCCAAAACCUCUUUAAGAAUGUAUCUACCUGAUAUGUUUCUGGCCAUCCCUUUAUUUUUCCAAUAGUAGUUCUCAUNNNNNNNNNNNNNNNNNNNNNNNNNNNNNNNNNNNNNNNNNNNNNNNNNNNNNNNNNNNNNNNNNNNNNNNNNNNNNNNNNNNNNNNNNNNNNNNNNNNNNNNNNNNNNNNNNNNNNNNNNNNNNNNNNNNNNNNNNNNNNNNNNNNNNNNNNNNNNNNNNNNNNNNNNAUGAUGGUGCUAUAGACAACCACGUCAGCAAUGGCGACACUAUAUGCAGCAAUGAUGAUGAGAACAUCGGUGGUAGUCUAGAUGAGAUAGAAACUUAUGAGCUGAUAUGUAUGUAGGUGAUGGAUAAAAAUUUAGAGAGGGAAAGGCAUGUAUGUGUACAACUAUUAUGUUAUUGCCUUUGAGCAAGUAAACUUUUCACAUGUCAAUUACCAGAUAUCUGAUCAUGGAUUGAUAUGUGCUAUGUAUACACUGAUUUUGGAUGCAUGCGCAGAGGAAUGAUGUGGAUCAUGGUUCAACUUGAUCAUUUAUACAAAUAUUCUGGAAUUGUUCAAUACAGCAUGCAAAAUAUUUUCCCUUUUUCCCCGAGUGUCAACCACGUAAGGAAAAAGCAUGUUUCCCUGUCGGCUGGCUGUUACAAAAAUUUGGUUCCUAAACCUGACGAAUCAAGAUAUUCCUGAGGGUGGCCGAAAGGAAUAACCGUCAGAAAAGUAUUUACUGUCAGGCAUUAGUGAAUUUCCCUGUCAUUUUAUUCUUAAUGAGUUUUGCAUGUAGGUCAGCCGACAGGAAAUAUUUUCCUGACGGUAAUUGUCAUUUUCCUGUGGGUUUUUGGCCAUCCGGAAAAGUGUUGUUUGUGGUAGUGAUGGUUGCAUGAAUAGAGUAGUUCACAAAUUUUAACUUAUGACCACAUGCAUGCCUUGAUGAUGUGGCAUAGUUGCAUGAAGAGAAAAAAUAGGUAGUGGAUUGCAACUAUUUAAGAAUAGAGGAUAGGAUGAGAUGCACUUGUUCAUUUUGUCUUAGAAUGCUUAACGAUGUGUCAAUUUGCUUUGUAAGAAUAAUAUCUGGUAGCUUUUCAGUAUCGCACACCCAGCAACUCCAAAUUCUCCUUGUGUAGCGACAGCCAAAUAUAUAGUAAAAUAAUGCAGUACAUCUUUCCUAUUCUGAGAAACUUUUGCACAAUAUUAUUUUGAGUAUGAUCCAGUUCGAGUCUAUCUUGUUCAAUGCUGAGACGCAACGCAAAGUUACGGUUUCAGGUUUAAAAAGGGCUGGAGUUGAGACUUGGGACGCAACGUACUUAUUAGCCAACAGAAUCCAGUAAUUCUGUCAGGCAUGCAUUCCUUGUUUGCUGUUUGCUUGACUGAAUUGACUCUUCCAUAUAGAUGGCAUGCACUACUGACUGUGAAGCACUGAAGGGAGCUAUCUUAUGCAAGAAAGGUGGUGGUCAGGAUUCAGGCGGCGGUGCGACCAUCUUCUGUUGCUGGUGGUACUGGUAGCGACGGCGGAGGGCGGCAUCACCGGGGUCAGAGUCGUCGGCGCAGCAGUAGCAGCCCAUGCCGCGCAAGGGGGUGCAGCGGCCGUGGACGAAGCCCCAGUUCUUGCAGCAGCGCAUGCACUUGCCGGACUUGUAGCACUUCUCGAUGCACAGGGGCCAGUAGAUCUUGCACACCAGCUUCGCCCCAACCUCCUCCACCAUCUCACCUAAUUUCACACAAAAUUAUACAUGAGAUUCACAACAAACUUGAACCAAAUGCACAAAUGUUUUUAGAAAAAUUUAUGCAUCUAGGAGAGAUUUUGACUUACAGCAGGUGAUGAGGAGGAUUGCCAGGAACAAUGACAAUGGGGCAAGCUUCUUUUUUUUGGAACGAAGGCUCGCGAAGAGCCCAGCUUUGAAUUAACAAAGCCAUCAACCGGCCAGGAGUUACAACAAACAACCACAUAACAGCGGUCAGAACGAUACAAUGGGGAACACUGGACUGAAACGCUGACUACAACCUCCACAAGCAGCUAAUGAAAAGGAAAUUAAGAUUACAGUUUGCAGAGGCCGAGCACUCCACACUAGGAUCAUAUGUAGUAAAGCAGAGCAGGACAUAGCCGACCUUCGAAGAUGGCCAUGCUCCAGGAACACCUAGAGAAGAAGGGGAACAACAUCUUCCAUCUCUAUCACCGAAGAGGGACCCUACCCCCUCGCCAUGGCUCGUAGGCGCCGCACCGUCGGGAUUUAGAGAAGCUCACCCUAGAGCUAGAAGAAUGCCGCCCUCACAACGAAAGGUGGACAUAGUGCGGCCACUUCGAUUUGGGAUACCCCUAGCCGGCCGCUCCGCCGCGGUCCAUGUCCAACUAGGUGGAGAAAAGCUUCGUGGAAUCGGACGCUGAAAAGGAGGCAGCUCAAUCCCUCACCCACAGCGCCUCCCGACCGCAUCCCGCCUCCCUAACGGCGCCUCCAGCAAGGUCACGACGCGCAAGGCGCCGCCGCCAAAUCCGAGAGGAUAUAAGGUUUUCACCCGGGCAAGGUGGGUCGGGGUGGAAAACAGGGGACCUCGGCUGCGCCCCCAUGGAGGAAAGCAGCGCCCUUGGGCGUUGCCGCCGCCGGACCGGCCGGACCGGCCAAGGUUUCCCCCGGUCCCCUAGCUGGCCACCAACACGCACCAACGCCGGGGCCAGAGAGGAAUCACUAGCCACCGCCGACGGCGAGAGAGAGGUGGCAGGGAGAGGGAUUUCGAACCUCCAGAUCUGACGAAGAAACUUCGCGCCGCGGCCGGAUUCCACCAACCACCCGCCGCCCGCGCGGCCAGGCACGCUGGCCAGCACCCCUGCGAACGCCGCCCACCGCCCGACGGCGCCGCCUCUCCGGUUGGGGCCGCCGCCCCAGGAACCGCAGGCCUCCGAGAGGGGAUGGAGCGCCGAGAUCCCCGCCGCCACCUUCACCGACGCCCGCACGGGCUUCCCGGCGGCCGUCUCCGGUAGCGGCGAGGGGAUGAAGGGAGAGGAGGGGGGGUGGCGGCGGCCGCGGAACCCUAGUCGCCCCCGAGUCGCCCAGGGGGGCGACGCGAGGGCCGGGAGGGGGGGGACCAUGUUCAAAUUGUGCACCAGGGUAACUUGUAGUUUCGCCCCUCUGGGGCAAGCUUCUUCUUGCCCAUCUUCUCCGGUCUCCACUGCUACCGUUCUCGUUAGAUAUGUGAUUUGGUUGGACGUUUUGGAGACUAAAGUUGGGUGGUAUUUAUACACCAAGGAGGAAGAGAGGAUGCUACAUGACGAGGAAAAGGUAGUGUAAAUUGUGUGAAAUGAAGAAGCGCAGAGAAUGAUCCAGUCUUCAGAUUUCAGACAACCGGUACAGGACCCGAGAUUAUCUAUCUAUCUAUCUAUCUCUCUCUCUCUCUCUCUCUCUCUCUCUCUCUCUCUAUCUCUAGCUGUUGAUUUUAGUUAUACAUAUACUGAAACUUAAACCCAAACACUAAAAAGUGCAUGGAGGCUCGUUGUCAUUUUCGAGUGCACGAUCCCUGACCUUAGAUGGAGCUAAUCACGACCGAUCGCGUGGAGCGUUCCGACUAAAGACAAUUGUUGGACCCCACACACACAUGGGCAGCGGAGACCCUAUUUUUUGAAUACCAGGAGUCGUCACUGCUAAAAUGCACACAUCAGCAAAAACAAACAACAGUAAAAUAAAAGACCAAAAACAAGACUCAAGAAUCUAACUUCUUAAUUAUAUCACUAGUGGUUUUGAAUGCUUGGGUUGAGUGGUAUUUAAACACCUAGAAGGAGUAGGAAGAGAGCAUAAGUAUAGGACGAGGACAUAGAAGGGUAAUUUUUUGAGACCGUCUCGAUAAACGGUUCAGAACUCUUUAGAUUUGGAAUGCCAAAGAUGAGAUACAGACCAAGCUUCAAAGUUUUUUUUUUCAAAAAGGGGGAUCCCCGGCCUCUGCAUCAGAACGAUGCAUACGACCACCUUUAUUACCAAGCAAAAUAGUUCAACAACAGUCUUAAAGUCUCAACAAAGUACAAAAAAUGCUCACACAGAGCACAAGAACAAAGAUCAAACCACAACCGGCUAGCAAGGUAAAGAUAGGAAAACUAAUUGCCUAUCCUAUUAUAUGACCGCCAUCUAAACCGGUUGAAAAUAUCCCGUGCUACCAUCUCCCAUCGGAUAUAUUCAGUAACCAAACGCUCCCUGGCCUCCGUCGGAGUGAGUAGCGACCACAUACAGAUCAACGCCGUAGCUCGGAAGAUAACCUGUAAAAAAGAGUGUUUGUUAUUCUGUUAAAGACCAAAUCAUUUUUGUAAUUCCAGAUAGCCCAUACUAAAGCACAUACUCCUACGUGAAUGUGUCUCGCUGUUUGGAGCUCAACCCCAUCAAGCCACGUCCCAAAUAACGUGUUGAUAUUAUUCGGCGGAGUAAUAUUAAAGGCUAUGUGCACAGACUGCCAAAGAAUUUUUGCCAAGGGACAAUCACGAAAGAGGUGUUUGAUGGAUUCAUCUCGAUCACAAAAGCUACAUCUAGUGGAUCCAUUCCAGUUGCGUUUUAUCAAGUUAUCCUUAGUUAAAAUGACUUGUUUGUGUACAAACCACAUAAACACUUUAACUUUCAAGGGAACUUUGACAUGUCAAACAUGUUUCGAAUUAGGAAUAGAGCUAGAAUUAAUAACAUCCAAAUACAUGGAUUUAACCGUAAACUCUCCAUUCCUAUUUAGCUUCCAACACAACUGAUCGGGUCGUUGAGUUAGUUGAACAUCCAUCAAUCUUCUCACAAGAUGGAGCCAGGCUUCCCAACGGUUUCCGGCUAGCGCUCUCCUGAAGUGAAUAUUAAGAGGCGUUGACUCACAUACUGUCUGAACGGUUGCAUCUCUCUAUUGAACAAUGCUAUAGAGAUAAGGAUAUUGAAGCACGAGGGGCGUAUCUCCUAGCCACGUAUCCUCCCAGAAUCUCGUAGAAGUACCGUUCCCAAUAAAAAACUUCGUCCGAUUAAAAAAGACUGAUUUAACUCUCAUCAGUCCUUUCCAGAAAGGCGAGUCCAUUGGCCUCACUGUCACCUGGGAUAAAGUUUUGGAAUGAAGGUACUUAUUAUGCAGAAUCUGUGCCCAUGUAGCCCCGGUCUCACUAGAUAGCUUAUACAUCCACUUGUUGAGAAGACAUUUGUUCUUGACCUCAAGAUUUUCGAUCCCGAGACCCCCUUGGUCCUUUGGUCGACAAAUAAUGUCCCAUUUAGUAAGUCUAUACUUCCUCUUGAGAUCAUCACUUUGCCAGAAGAAGCGGGAGCGAUAGAAAUCAAGUCUUUUCCGAACUCCAACUAGAACCUCGAAAUAAGACAGAAGAAACAUGGGCAUGCUUGUGAGAACCGAAUUAAUGAGAAUUAAACGGCCUCCAUAUGACAUCAGUUUGCCAUUCCAGCAUCCCAGCUUCUUCUCAAAACGAUCCUCAAUGCUUUUCCAUUCUCUGUUUGUUAGCUUACGAUGGUGAAUUGGUAUACCCAAAUAAGUGAAAGGUAAAGCCCCAAUUCACAUCCGAACAAUUGCUUACAUGCCUCUUGUUCCUCAUCGGCUCUUCCAAAACAGAACAAUUCGCUCUUGUGGAAAUUAAUCUUUAAUCCGGUCAAUUGUUCAAAUAAGCAUAACACUAGCUUCAUGUUUCUCGCUUUUGCCAAGUCAUGCUCCAUAAAGAUGAUAGUAGCAUUGGCGUACUGUAGGACAGAUACACCUCCAUCAACUAGAUGAGGUACCAGACUGCCUACUUGACCAGCAUCCUUGGCCCUUCCUAUUAGAAUCGUCAACAUGUCAACUACAAUUUUGAACAGAAUAGGUGACAUCAGAUCUCCUUGUCGCAUGCCUUUAUGCGUUUGAAAAUAGUGACCUAUGACAUCAUUUACUCUAAUUCCAACACUCCCUUUUUGCGUGAAAGACUCUACCUGUUGUCUCCAGGCUUGAUCAAAACCUUUCAUACGCAAGGACUGUUGAAGAAAUGGCCAUUUGACUUUGUCGUACGCCUUUUUGAAAUCCACUUUGAAAACAACCCUGUCUAGUUUUUUCGUAUGAAUUUCAUGGAGCGUUUCAUGAAGGACCACAACCCCUUCUAGGAUGUUUCUGUCCGGCAUGAAAGCAGUUUGGGACGGCUGUACCACAGAGUGCGCAAUCUGCGUGAGUCUAUUUGUCCCAACCUUGGUGAAGAUUUUGAAACUUACAUUAAGAAGGCAGAUUGGCCCGAACUGCUCAAUUCGCACGGCCUCUGUUUUCUUAGGAAGCAAAGUAAUAGUUCCAAAAUUCAGAUGAAACAACUGAAGCUGUCCAGAGAAUAAAUCAUGGAACAUCGGCAGCAAAUCCCCCUUAAUAAUAUGCCAACAUUUUUUAUAAAGCUCCGCUGGGAAUCCAUCCGGCCCCGGAGCUUUAUUGUUCUUCAUCUGAGAAAUAGCUUCAAACACCUCUUUCUCAGAGAACGGUGCAGUCAAAAUUUCGUUCUCAUCCGCAGCUAGUCGAGGGACAUCCUCUAUCCUCGACUCAUCCAGGGACACAAAAUUAUCCUCCGGCGGCCUAAAAAGCUGCUUAUAGUAAUUGGUAAUAUAUAAUUUUAGGUUUUCCUGCCCUAAGAUCAUCCCCUCAUCUUGCUCAAGCUGAAAGAUUCUUUUCUUUCUGUGCUUGCCGUUAGCUAUCAUAUGAAAGGAUUGAGUAUUGGCGUCCCCUUGGACAACUCUGCGAACCUUAGCCCGCAAUGCCCACUUCAAUUCCUCUUCUCGCAGUUCUUUCAAUCCACUAGUAGAAAAUGGAGCUUUAUUACGAGUUUGUAAGGGCCUUUAGUGCCGGUUCUGCAACCGACACUAAAGGGUGGAGACUAAAGCCCACCCCCCUUUAGUAACGGUUCGGCACAAACCGCCACUAAAGGCCCACGACGUGGCGUGAGCUCGCGUCGUGGUAUGGGGGACCUUUAGUACCGGUUGGUAACACCAACCAGUACUAAAUUUUUUUUUGAAUUUUUGGAAAAAAUUUGAUUUUUUUUCGAUUUUCAAUUUUCUGAAUUAUUUGAUGAUUUAGUCUCUAAUCACCCCUCUUAAGUCCUCAAGUGUGGAUCACUGAUUCCAAAUCGUCUAACUUCCCGGCCGGUCACCCAUCCUCUCACUACCCCAGCCUGAGCACGCUUAACUUCGGAGUUCUAUUCCCCCUACUUUCCAAGUCUACACUUGUUGUUUUCCUGACAAAUGUAAGCUGUCAAUCCUAUUAACCCUCAGGAGUUUAGCUUGAGCAUUAGGUCACAUGUUUCACCGUUUGAGUUUGAAACUAUUAUUCUAAAAAACAUUAAUUAUUUAGUAACACUAAUAUUUCUUGAAUAAGUAGUUUGACCAUAGUUUGACCAGAUUUGAUCAAAAUUUAAAAAACUGAAACAAUUAUUUAGUAACACUAAUAUUCUUGAAUAAUUAUUUAGUAACACUAAUAUUUCUUGAAUAAGUAGUUUGACCACAGUUUGACCAAAAUUCAAAAAAACUGAAAUUUGAGCAUAUCUUUUUUUCCUUUUAGAAUUUGAGGAUUCUAAAAAUUUGCAAACAGGCCAUAGGCGGUCAAAAUUGGAUGCGGAUUUUCGUGCUGAACAUUUUGAUAUAUUAUACUUUUUUUUUCGACAUCGUAUGCAAAAGAUAUAGUCGUUUUACUUUUUCGACACACUUUUUUGCAAAACAUGUCCAAAUUUAAGUUUUUAAAUUUUCCUAACUUGUAGAUGUAGUAACAUAACUACAUCUCGAAGGAUUUUAAUUUUUUGAAGUUUUUUAUCAUUUUCNNNNNNNNNNNNNNNNNNNNNNNNNNNNNNNNNNNNNNNNNNNNNNNNNNNNNNNNNNNNNNNNNNNNNNNNNNNNNNNNNNNNNNNNNNNNNNNNNNNNNNNNNNNNNNNNNNNNNNNNNNNNNNNNNNNNNNNNNNNNNNNNNNNNNNNNNNNNNNNNNNNNNNNNNNNNNNNNNNNNNNNNNNNNNNNNNNNNNNNNNNNNNNNNNNNNNNNNNNNNNNNNNNNNNNNNNNNNNNNNNNNNNNNNNNNNNNNNNNNNNNNNNNNNNNNNNNNNNNNNNNNNNNCUUUAGUACCGGUUGGUGACAGAAACCGGUACUAUAGGUUAGACCUUUAGUACCGGUUUGUGUCACAAACCGGCACUAAAGGGGCUCGUGGGGCCCCGGCCUGACGCCAGCCUGCCACCACCCCUUUAGUACCGGUUCGUGGCACCAACCGGUACUAAAGGUUCAACACGAAACGACACUAAUGCAUAGCCGUUCGAACCGGCACUAAUGGUCACAUUAGUGCCGGCUCAAAUACAAACCGGGACUAAUGAGUUAAACAUUUGACCCUUUUUCUACUAGUGAUCUCAUCUCCGCAUAGCAUGUCCUUUGCCGUCCAAGGUAUGUACGUGCGAGCUAUCAAACCUAUGAAACAAAACGGCAACGUCACUCCCACAAGCCUGAACAACACAUUCAUCAUCUGCUAUAUAGAGAACUAGCCCAGUGGCCCGCACAAAUGCGGUGUGUGGGCAACUUCUUCAGUAAUGUGGUGCGACCGUGUUUCGAAAUAAAAUCUAUUGAACCGUUAUGGGCCUGGCCCAUGUGUGUUGCUGACCUAGAAGUGAGGAAGGAGUAAGUUGUCUGCUCGACAGAACACGUACACAUCCGAGUCUAAUGUGCAGUCGCCGCUCUCCAGGUUGCUGCUCCUCAAAGCACAACAUGGUAUCAGAGCGAGGCGGCGGCGGGGCUAGCGGGAUGGUGAUUCCGCAACGGCGGAGCCAACGUACAGGUGUUGGGUUCAACCCAACGGAAUUUGCUCCGUACGGGUGUGUAGGUGCCUAUUUACCAGACAUGAACCCAUUAAAAUAUCGUGGCUGACCCCAUCAACUAGAGGCUAUCAAGUGAACGACUAAGCAAAGGGCUCAAAAGUGAGAAGCCCACGAGGAUUCCUUGACUCCUUCCGUGUGAUUAGCGUUUCUCAAAAAAAAGUCACCGUGAUUAUAUUAGUCACGUAGGCAUCCCUUCAAUCCCUAAAAAUAAACGUACCCUAUCCCUCCAAAAAAAAAAGAUUAGUCACAUACGCAUCCGCACGCCUCAUCGUCUCUUUGUUUUUUAAUACACAUUUGAUUUCUCCUCUCGUCUAUUCGUGUUCCUGACGCCUUGCCGCCUCAGCCGCCGCACGCCACCGGCAAGCAGGCCCGCUACAGCCUACAUGCCUACAGCCUACAGAUCGACAGCGGCAACAUUUGUAGUACAAACUUUGAGGUAAUUACAUUACAUUGUCUCAUCUCUUCUCUCUCAUAUGUAUGUUUUAUCUAUCCCAAUAGCCUAGUAUGAUAGUGGAUUUUUUGCCCUAGUUUUUUUAUUCGUUUCUCCAUGGACUUUGAUUGAUCUAGGCUAUGGAGCGGUGUUUUUCGAAGAGAACUCUGUCACUAGAUCCGGAUCCAGAGAAUGAUACAUGCACAUCAAGGUCACCCAUUAGACGUAUGCAAAGUGCAUCAAAUGUCACUGUAGCUAGUCUCCCAAAGCCUACUACUCAUACAGAAUAAUUUUGAUGAGUUGCCUUAUGAUCCGGCUUAUCGGAAGAGAAUUUCAAAGUAAACGAAAUCCAAAGAAGCAAGAUGAGAUUUGCGCAUAUAUUUAACAAGGGGAACUUACAGGCCAUCGUCUAAUUUUGAUUACCCGCAGAGGGAGAUUGAAGAUACUCGACGGAGAUUUGAUUCAGAUUGGUUUGAUGAAUACAUUGUUGGCUUGAGUAUAGUGAAAAAGUGCAUAAGGCCUUUUGUUUGUGUUGCUAACUUUUAGAGAUUACAACGAGGGACAAGCUGGGAGUGAUGCGUUUGCAAUUAACCGCUGGAACGGUUGGAACAAGAAAAACGAACUAGAUAGUCAUGAGGGUAAGGGUAAUGUUAAUAGCUUUCAUAAUGUAGCAGUAAAAAGAUGUGAUACUAUGAUGAAUCAAGAUCAAUCAAUUUAGGUCACUCUAAAACGUGAGUGACUUUACAAGAUUCUUUCGCUUGACAGUACUUAUUCUAUACUUGUAAUCUAACUUGUUAUUUUUUUCCAACCGCUGUUCAAGGCGGUGUAAACUAACUUGUCAUUUUUUUCCUAACCGCUGUUCAAGGCGGUGUAAACUAACUUGUCAUUUUUUCCCAACCGGUGUGUACACAAUUGGAGCGAGUGGCCAUGGAAGAUAUUUCUCAAUAUGAGUGGCAGCAUAACCGUAUCGGCCCAUCACCUCAUUCGACGUAGUGACGGUCCUAUUUGACUCUGCUAGCUAGUGCCGAUAUGUCAACUUUUUAUUUUCUUUCAGACUGUUUGUGUUUGGCUGUGUGCAUCCUAACUAUGCAGAGGCCAGGUGUUUCUCAUCAUGAUUUGUAUCUUCUUGAUGCUACAUUUUGAGUUAAUAAAAGUGCCAUUUAUCGAAAAACUUGUCAUCUUUCCAAUGUUCCAGGAAGAUGAGAAGCUACACCGGAGCUGCAAAUUUAUUUAAUACUACUCUAUUUACAAUAUGUAAACAAGUGAUUUCCUAAUUUUAUAGAACCGGUGUGUCUUGCACUCUUUAGUUUUUAAUGCAGAACAAUAACUGAUAUGUGAUACUCAUUAUGUUGUUUUCGGGUCCUAUAAUGCGUUGUAAGAUAAUUUAAAAUUAGACUUUACACUUCACAUAUCAGUACCAAGUUCUCACAACGAGUCAUGGAGUGAACUCAAUGGCCAAAUUUUCUGGCUGCGCCCCCGGAAAGGACUGAAGGAAGAUAUGAUGGACAAAGGAGUCGGGCCAGAGAACUAGAACUUGGAACUAAUUCUGAACAAAAGGGGUGACUAAAGAGAAUUUAGAUGUAGAAAGUCAAGCAAUAGCAGCAAAGUAAAUCAGAGCAGUUGUUGCUUGUUAGGCAUGCAUGGUGAUUUAACAUCAAGAGACCGAUCCCAAAUCGAAGGUAAAAUGCACCUUAAUUCACAUCACCUCAGUGUCAAACCCCGCAGAAACCUGAAGAGGAUAACCAACAAGCAUUCAUGGCAAUGGCAGACCACCACCGCAACUAAAAGGUUAUAAGUUUACCGGAAACCAUCUGCCUCGUCGUCAAGAGUCACACAGCUCUAACAUGCCAGAGCCAAAAUAACAUCACGUCCAACUUAUUAAUAAUUACUUAAAACUUAUUAAGUACUUCCAGCAACUUCAGCCCGUCAUGUCCAGUUGAGACUAAGUGCUUCCAGCAUCUUCUUCAGUGCGCUUCCUCUUGAGGUUGCUCCUGUCCACACGCCACUGCUUCAGGAGGUGCUCAACGACUUCUGCCAGGGUGGCUUUCCGGUCCUCCUUGUAGUUCCACAGCUCGUUAACAGGAUGGCGGCCACUGGGAUUGUGCUCGCUGAGUUCGAGCAGGGCCUUUGUCACCAAACCAUAGAUCUGUUCGCCAUUUUCUUCUUUCAGAGCACGAAGCUUCUCGUCGUCCUCACAGACAAUUUCCUACAACAGAGCACACACUAUUAGAUGGAUAAAAAAUUUACAAGGCAAACAAACUAUUUAACAGGUCCAAAAACCUGCACUUCAGGAACAUGCCAAGAUUGCUAUUUCAUAGUGAUUUGUUCAACCGCGAGUAGCAGACCCUAAGAUAAGUUCUCAGAGGUAACACAAUGAAUCUAUGCAUUAGCUGAACACUCUACAAGCAAGGGGCCAAACUCGUGUGACACAACAUAUUAUUAUGUUUUGAAAGUCAUACCACAUAUUUCACAAACAUGCCUUAGCUAUCCUGGUAUUAUUGACCAGUGAUACACAUAUAUGUCUAAGUUAACAGAUUCAGUAAUCAACCAUCCAUUGAAUAAUUAACUGUUGUACAUAAAACAGAAAUAACUGACCUAUGAAUACAUUAGUGUUAUAUAUUACAAAACUAAACCAAGCUAUUAAACGAUUCACUGCAAGAUCUGCAUGCAGAGACCAGUUGCAGCACACCAUGAAGAAAAGAUUGUUCUCUGCUGAUUUGUUCCUUUUGGAUUAAUUAAGAAAAUCUAGGGGAGUAUAUUAAACUAUGCACCUCUAGUUUAUACCACAGUUUAUUAAGAAGCAGAUGUACAAGGGAAACAUUUGCAAAGCCAAAAGCCUACUGCAGAACCAAUGACACACAAUUACAAAAUAUUAGAGAAAGCUGAUUGUGCAGUAGCAACAGUAAAGAGAUUUAUACCAUUUCUUUUCCAUCAACCAUGAUAACUUUAAACGGGUACCAAUCUGGAUUUCCUGCAGAGCGAUAAUGAAACCAAGAAAUACCGUCUGGCUAGGUGGAAUGUAUUAUGUCGACCUAAAAGCCAAGGGGGUCUUGGAAUCCAGGCCCUAGAGAUUAAAAACAUCGCUCUUCUCAGCAAAUGGGUGUACAAACUACUCACUGAGGAGGGCGUUUGGCAGGAAAUCAUUCGUAAUAAAUAUGUGGGAUCCAAAGCAAUAUCUCAGGUAUACUGGAAACCAGGUGAUUCUCAUUUUUGGAGUGGGGUGAUGAAAGCUAAAGAUUUCUUUUUCCAAUUUGGUCCAGGAUGGUUCCCAAGUACGGUUUUGGGAAGGUUUUGGGAAGAUACCUGGCUGGGGUCUAAUCCACCUAGCGUUCAAUACCCAAGCUUGUAUAGGAUUGUUAGACAUAAGUUUGUCACGAUUAAACAAGUUUUGGGUCAGGAAAAUCCCGACAUUUCUUUUCGUAGGGACCUUCUUGGACCUCGUCGGACAGCCUGGAAUGAACUGCUCAUCCGUUUGGAGGCCGUACAGCUGUCGGAUGAGCCGGAAAUUUUUAGAUGGAAAUUGCAUCAGAAUGGGAAGUUUUCAGUAAAAUCCAUGUAUGAUGCAUUGGUCCAUAAUGAGGUUCCAAUUGAUAACAGGAAAUUGUGGAAGCUAAAAAUCCCUCUAAAAGUGAAGUAUUCCUAUGGUUCUUAACAAAGGGAUGAUCUUAACUAGGGAUAACUUGGCAAGACGCAACUGGCAAGGUUGCAAAAAAUGUGCUUUCUGCCAUCAUGAUGAAUCCAUUAAACACUUAUUUUUCGAGUGCAAGUUUGCACGGUCGGUUUGGGCCAUUGUUCAGAUAGCGUCGAAUCUUUACCCCCCACGUAGUGCACGGAAUAUGUUUGGCAAUUGGUUGUGGGGAAUAGAUAAACAAUUUUCUGCUCACAUCCUUGUGGAGGCGGCCGCCUUAUGUUGGGCGCUUGGCUCACCAGGAAUGAUAUAGUUUUUAACCAUAAAUGCGUUCCAUCUCCUAUGCAGGUUAUUCAUAUAUAUUCGCGAUGGCUCCGUACGUGGUCUAUCAUGCAGAGGCCGGAGGACAGAGACCUUUUUAUGAUGGCGUCUACUCGGCUGGAGCGUUCGGCCAGGGAGGUUUUCUACCCCCAUAGAUGGCGGUGUGACCUUCCACUACUAGGGAAAACCUUAUACACAGAAUCUUAGCAGCAGCGCGGCACAAAAAGAGGCGCUACUGCUAAUUAGCAGUAGCGAUGUUAAGAAAAACGCGCUGCUAAUGAAAAUUUAGCAGUAGCGCGUGAUGGAUAAACUGCGCUGCUACAAAAAUGUACCGACAGUACCUAACAACCUAAGUUUACCAGCAGCGCGGUGGCACGAUGCGCGCUACUGCUAAAGCAAUAGUAGUAGCGCGCUUUUUAGUCACGUCGCUGCUGCUAAUUUUGAAAUUGUCCACACGGUUGGCCCGUUUAGCAGUAGCGCGUGUGAGAAAAGCGCGUUGCUGCUACACCCUUAGCAGUAGCGCGCUUUUCCUCCCGCGCCACUGCUAAGGCGCAGCACCCCACCACCUUUUCCCACCCGUCCUCCCCUCCCCCAUCUCCUCUCCUCCCUUUCCCCUACCUCCCACAUCCUCCCUCUCUCACUCUUCUUCUUCCUCAAGACUUCUCCCCCCAUUACUCUCCCUCUUCUACCUACCUUUCUCUCUCUUCAUUACUCCUAGCUAACUACACCACCUCCAUUAAUGCAUCUCCUUUAUCUUUUUCCUUCCCCCUCCACUAGUUGAAGUUGUCUCCUCCCAAAUUAGCUAGCUAGGUAGAUGUAGCAUUUAGUCAAGUGACCUAUUUGCCCCUAACUAGAUCUAUCUUUGUCAAGAAGAGCUUUGUGCACUUUUGAUCUCCCUACAUCAUCAUCUCCACCGUGUGCUCGAUCUCGAGAUAGAGGUGAUUAAAAUUUCAUGCUUUUGCAAAAUGGAAACAUGUGUAUGUGUGUGUGAUAUGAUAAUUGGGCAAUAUGAUGGAAAUUGUGUGUGUGGCAUGAGUUGACGCCAAAUUGUGCUUUUGAGUUGCCUAUGUUUUGCCGAAAUGUCGAUUUAUUUCCGUUUCGGCGAAUUCCGGGCAAACUCUAGAUCUAUAUAUGUCCUAUUUUUAGGGAAGGUCAUGCCGAAUUUUUGUAUGACUUUGAUGCAUGCACGCAUUUUUAUAAUCAAUUUGUUUAUUAUUACCGUGCAGACGUUCAUGAUGGUCAGUGGAACGAUGGUGGACAGGUGGUUGCGGUCGGCGGUGCAGGACAUGAAAGAAAAUAACCUGACAGAGGUUUUAUGCCCGUGUCGAAAAUGCAAAGGAAUAGUUUGGCUCGACCCCUAUGACGAUGGUCGUGUCGAAGCGCACCUGCUCAUGACUGGUUUCAUGGAUGGCUAUACUCGGUGUAUAAUUGAAGAUGAGGAUGACGAUGUUGAGGACGCCGACGGGGCAGGCAAUGAUGACACGGGGCAAGACGAAGAGAUGAUCGAUAAUGGCGGAGGGGAAGCGGCCGAACAUGGCGGCGGAGAAGGGGUCGGACAUGGCGGAGGAGAAGGGGCCGGACAUGGUGGCGGAGAGAACGACGUGGACUCCACGCAGCAGAGUUCGUCGGUACUAAGUUCAAUCGUGCGGGACCCUCAUGUUCAAGCACUGCUUCGCAAGGAGACGAGUACUGAGAGAGCUGCUUCUAGAGAGGAGGCUAAGCUGGAGCAACUGGUGGUAGACUCGAACACUCCAUUAUAUGAUGGUUGCAAUCCUGAGGUGACCCACUUGAGUUUCACGCUCCAACUCCUGAAGACAAAGGCUAAAAACAAUGGACCGACACUAGCCUCGAUGAGCAUCUCAAGUACCUAAAGGAUGUUCUUCCCGCGGGGAAUCUAUGUCCUACUAGUGUUGAAGAGGCCAAGAAGAUCGUGUGCCCUCUUGAUCUGCCGCACCUUAGAUACCAUGCAUGCAUCAAUGAUUGCAUAAUUUAUCGGAAGGAGCACGCGGAAAAAACAAGCUGUUCGGUGUGCAAUGCUUCUCGAUACAAGAAGGCCGGGAAGAAAUGUCCCCAGAAAGUUGUAUGGUACUUACCGAUCACUCCCCGUCUCCAGCGGUAUUUUGUAGAUCCCAAGGAAGCAAAGCUAAUGCGCUGGCACGCGGAGAGGAAGAAGCCUGACGAUGGAGAUGAUCCGAAGCUGAGACACGUCAAGGAUGGAAGCCAGUGGAGAGCGUUGAACAGCUUCUAUCGGUAUUUCGAAUGUGAUGCAAGGAACAUCGUGCUCGGCGCGUGUACCGAUGGCAUGAAUCCGUUUGGCAACCAGAACACCAACCAUAGCACAUGGCCCGUGUUUGUAUGGAUGUACAACCUCCCCCCUGGUUGUGCAUGAAGUCAAAGUACAUUCACAUGAGCAUGCUUAUUCAAGGGCCGAAACAACCAGGAAAUAAUAUUAAUUUGUAUUUGGGGCUACUUCAAGAGGAGUUAGACACGUUAUGGAAAACACCGGCCAAGACAUGGGACGCCAGCAAAGGCGAGUAUUUCUACAUGAGAGCCACGCUGAUCACGACGGUGCACGACUAUCUCGGUUACGGAUAUGUCGCAGGCCAGGUGUGCCAUGGAUAUUGCGGAUGCACGCGGUGCAUGGAUGAUACGACGUCUCAGCAGCUAACGUCAAGGAAAGAUGGCGGGUCUGGGAAAAUCGUGUACAUGGGGCAUCGAAGAUGGCUCGAAGAGGACGACCCGUGGAGAAACCGUGGAGAUCUAUUCAAUGGUCACGCUGAGCAUCGAGGACCUCCACGUAAGCGGAGCGGUGCCGAAAUCGAUGAGCUGUUGAAAAACUGGAAGGAGUGCCCCGCGCCGGGAAAGACGAUGAAAAAGGCGCUGGAGCCGCUGCUGAAGGUAUGGAAGACGAGGUCUGUGUUCUGGGACUUGGAGUACUGGCACAAACUCGAUACACCUCAUUGCCUUGAUCAAAUGCAUAUAUGUAAGAAUGUCCUUGAGAGCUUGCUCGUGACACUGAUGAACAUGCCGGAUAAGACCAAGGAUGGGCCGAAGACAAGAAAAGACUUGCAAGAUUUGAAAAUCAGGGAAGAUCUGCACAUGCCGCCCCAUAAAAUGUCAGACGAGACAGAGACGGAGACAGAGGCACGGGAGAAGAAGGGCAAGAAAAUAAAGAAAGAGGAUUAUUUCCCCCCUUCUUGCUUCACCUUAAGUCAGUCUGAGAUCGGUCAAUUCUUUAAGUGCCUUACCGGAGUCAAAGUUAGUUCAGGUUACUGUGGCAAGAUAAGCAAAUAUCUAGACACGGACAAGAAAAGGUUCAGUGGGAUGAAGUCCCAUGACUGUCAUGUGAUGAUGACGCAGAUACUACCUGUUGCCCUUAGAGGGAUAAUGGACAAGCACGUCCGUGACACGCUUAUUGGUCUCUGCAACUUUUUCGACAUCAUCUCUCGAAAGUCGAUCAGUCUGAAGCAGCUCCGAAGGCUACAGGAAGAGAUUGUUGUGAUACUGAAUGAGCUUGAGAUGUACUUCCCGCCCGCGUUCUUUGACGUGAUGGUGCAUAUGUGUGUCCAUAUUGUGGACGACAUAAUAGACCUGGGGCCGUCAUUUCUGCACAACAUGAUGCCGUUUGAGAGGACGAAUGGGAUCAUCAAAGGAUUCAUUCGUAACAUGUCAUGUCCGGAUGGAAGCAUCGCCCAGGGCUAUCUGACACAAGAGUGCAUCUUUUUCUGCGAGAAUUUUCUAUAUGGCGCAGACCUGCAGCCGCCUGGUGUUAGUGUUGGUUUGCCCGUUAACAAGCACGAUGGGAGGCUCGAAGGAGAAGGUCACUCCAACGGUCGCAGGGAACUGCACGUGGCAUACUCAGAUCGACGCAUCGACUUUGACAGAGCAACUUGGUAGUGCUACAACACCUAGACGAGGUAGAUCCUUUCGUGGCACUGCACAAAGAAAUCAUCGCAAAGAAGUACCGUGAUCGGGGGCUAUGCAGGACGGACGCCGAAGUUACUAGAGAGCACAACUCCACUUUCCUGCAUUGGUUCAAAGAGCAUAUUAUUGCUAAUCCCCCCGACGAGGGCUCUAAGGACGGAUUGCUCAUAUACGCCUUAGCACAUGGCCCCUCGCCCAACCUCGUAACCUAUCAGGCAUACGAUAUCAACGGAUACACGUUCUACACGGAGGCCAAAGAUAUGGACAGUGAUGAUCAGAACUCAGGGGUGACGAUGGAAUGCAUGACCGGCAGCGACAACGGCGCAACUGAAAGAUUUUACGGAAGGGUCGAGGAAAAGUCACAAUGAGGGGCUCAAUUAUUCUUCAACGAACAAGAAGGGAAAGAAGCUGACUCAAAAACGAAAACGUCAACGCUGAGGAACCGUAUGUUAUCGGUCAAAUGAUGUAAUAUAUAUAUAUAUAUAUAUAUAUAUAUAUAUGUUCCUAUUUUGUAUACACACUUAGCCAUUAUUAUGCAUGGGUCCAAUAAUGUAAUAUAUAUGUUCCUAUUUUAUAUACAUAUUUAACCAUCAAAUGAUGCAAUAUAUAUCGCCUUCCCUUCGUUCACUGCUCUCGGAAAAAAGAAAAGAAAAGUGAGAGAAAAUAAAGGAAAAGAAAAAGGAAAACUGGUUAUAGCAGUAGCGCUUUACUGAAAAAGAGCUACAGCUAGUCAAGGUAGCAGUAGCGGUUUCCAUAUAAAACCGCUAUAGCUGCCUGUAAUAGUAGUAGCGCGUUUGCUCUAAACGCGCUACUGCUACGUCCACUUAACCCAAAAUCCUCACUCUCUCUGCUUCAUCCCGCCUCUUUUCCCCCCAAAUCCCCACUCUCUCUUCCCCCGUCGCACCACCGGGGCCCUGCCCUCGCCGCGCCCCGGCGCUCUCCCCCGACCCCGGCGCUCGCCCCCGACCCCGACGCGACACGCCUCCCUCCUCGGCCUCGCCCCCGACCCCGACGCGCCACGCCUCCCUCCUCUGCUUCCUCCCNNNNNNNNNNNNNNNNNNNNNNNNNNNNNNNNNNNNNNNNNNNNNNNNNNNNNNNNNNNNNNNNNNNNNNNNNNNNNNNNNNNNNNNNNNNNNNNNNNNNNNNNNNNNNNNNNNNNNNNNNNNNNNNNNNNNNNNNNNNNNNNNNNNNNNNNNNNNNNNNNNNNNNNNNNNNNNNNNNNNNNNNNNNNNNNNNNNNNNNNNNNNNNNNNNNNNNNNNNNNNNNNNNNNGCUCCUCCUCUCUCUGCUAGCUAGGGUUCUUGGGUUAAUUUACUUAGGUUUUAGUUAGGGCAGUAGGUUAAUUAGGUUAUCUAUUUAGUUAUGAAUUUAGCUAGGUUUUAAAAUAGGACAGAAAUUUAGGGUUAAGCAAUUGUAGUUAAAAGAAAAGGCAACAUUUAAGCAAUUGUCCAAAUCAACAUCCCUUGUUAAAGCAAAUUUAGGUAGGCUGAAUUUAUAUGCAAAUUUGAACUGGACAUGUGAUAUGUGGACAUGUCAUGUUUUGGACAUGUCAUGUUUGGAAUUUGGACAUGUCAUUUGGACAUGUGAUGUUUUGGACAUGUCAUAUUUGGAAAAUGAUGAUUAUGUGCAGGGUAAAUGAUCCGAGUGGCCUAUGUUACGCCGGAAUGUUGAUUCAUUUUUGUUCCGGUGAAUUUCAGGCGCUCGAUAUGUCCAUUUUUUAGCAAAGGUCAUGCCGAAAUUUUCCGUGAUUUUUGGCAUGAUUUGUGCUAGAUAGUAGGCAUAUCGAGUGCUGGGAGUUGCUGGGAAAUGACAUUCCGACAAACAUAGAUUUCUUUUUUAUGUCAUUUCUCAUUUUUUUCAUACUUUUAGAAUUAAACGAGGAGACUUAAUCAUAGGAAACAUGUCGAACAACGAAGAAACUGGGCCUUCUGACCAAGAUGCAGACGAGAUGAAUUAUGAGGAUGAACAAGAGUACCUCGACUACUUGACUACUAAGCAAGGUUUUCAGGUCGGCCUCGAUGAUGGUACUGACGCCGACAUCGACACCGACGGCGCCGGCACCGAUGGCGGCGCCGAGACCGGCGGGGAAGGUACCGGCGGGGAAGGUACCGGCGCCGAUGCCGCUACCGAAAAGAAGAAGCAGGAGAAGCAGAGGAUACUAAAACCUAACAAACUAGGGAUUGGACGACUAGUGAUCACAAAGAUGGCACCUGGCAAGUUUGAGCCAUUAGAGCCGGAAGAACCUCGCAAGUGCUAUGGGAACCAAGUAGGAUGCAUCCUACGGGAAUGCGCGAGCAUCAACGACGAUGACUUAAGGAGUAAAGAACAUUUGACGCAGUUGCUCCUGACGAAGUUGCACAAAAGAUUCAAGUUCCCCGACCGGGAUGAUAACAUAGAACAACCGUGGGAUGAUCCGAAGAUGAAAAAGAUCAAUCACGCCAUGGGCAUGUUCAGCAAUGAUUUGGCCUCCUGGAAAGGGAGGGUAAAACGAGCUAUUGAGGCUGAGGAACCCCUGUCCAAGAUUCUGGAGGAAAAUCCGACACUUACGGAAGAGGAGUUCGAAAAGUUCAAGGACACUUGCGCUACCGAGGCAGCCAAGGCUAAGGCUGCGAAAUUCAAGAGCCUUCAGCAAAGGAACACGUGGAAGCAUCGCCUCGGAAGCAGUGGCUACCUCGGUAAAAGGCCCAUAUGGGAUAAGGAGGACGCGGAACGUGAAGCCGCGGGUAUCCCAGACCCCUUCGCGAAGUUCACCAACCCCUUAGAGCGUGACUUCAUCAGGGCCCGCUACAAGUGGGACAAGGAAAAGAAGGUUUUUUACACGGACCAGAUCACGAGGAAAUUGAUUAGACUAUUGGAAAUUAUUCUUUUACCACCUUACAUUUAGCUCCAUAUCUAGUCGACUACACAUUCCUAAACGGAUCACGCUCCAUCUACAGGAGAAGCAACACCAGCUUGCAGCCGAAAGCCCGACUUCUCCGAUGAGGCCCAAGUGGGACACCCCUCUCAACCGGGCCUUGAACGAACUUAAGGGACUCCCUUUGGGCCAGCGGCCGCAAUAUGGUCAUGUGCACGGCGCUGGAGACGGAGCCACGUGGAAGGUGUUUUACAACGAGGGCCCGGAGGCCAAGAGCAGAAAAAUAAGUUUAGUCAGGCGGACAUCGACGCGAAGGUGAAGCUUGCGGUCGAGAAAAAAGCAGCUGAGGACGCGAAAAAAACAGACGAGGAGAAAAAUGAGUUGCUACAGCAGGCAGUCAAUGCUGCUGUAACUGCCUGCAGAAAUGAUUUCGCUCCUAACUUGGUUCCAGCUAUCAUCAACUGGACGAAGGAAAAUCAAGACAAGACGGUACAUGAUUUCCCGUUGCCCAGUUUCGUCGGGAGCAACUCCAUGAACAACAACACCACCGCACCAUCACUUGCUCACGCAACCGGGCCUCCUCUCGCAGUCGCUCCCGCUCAUAGCAGCCCGUCCUCAGUCUCUGGCGCGCUAGGUGGGCCUUCGUCUUUGGCUGAGCUCGACGCCGUCACGGUAAUUACAUGUCGCACCAACAUAUAUAUAUAUAUAUAUAUAUAUAUAUAUAGAAUAUUCCAUUUUCGUUGCCUUUCGGAUGUUUUACACCACAGACAUAUGUGUUUGCAGGCCGAAGAAACCCCGUGCACCAUACUCUACUUGAUCAAAGGCCAGAAGGUGGAUGUGGGAAAGGGGAUGAUAAUGAACCCCUUGCAACCCACGUUACACAACCAGCCGAUCCCCGCUGGGCACUUCAGGGUUAGCUUGUCUAGUGUGAAAUCGGGGCACGAGGAUUUUCCUCCUCCAGUACAGCAUGUGGGAGAGGACGACGAGACCCCGCCGCGGAUUGGAAACUGCAAGGGUUGGGUGCUGCUAUGGCCGAAGAAUCUUAUUCGUCUGGAGCCGGCCGAGAGCACACCAAUAACCACACAUCAACAAGCAUGUGCGGAGACCACCACCCCGCCUACGUAAUUACCAGCUCCUGUAGUGCUAGGUGAGAGCGAUGGACGACGUGAUGAAGGGGGUGCAAUAGUACUGGCUGAUGUAAUCGGUCCUGUAGAACAGAGAAUGGAUGAUGAGACGGAGGUCGACCCUAUGGGUUUCCUCAAUACAAACGCGUAUGACUGUGACAUAGAUAUGAUGAGUCAACCAUAUGACGAAUCGGGCUAUCAGCAUGCUAAUGAGGAUAUGGAUGAUAUGCCCGGACAGGAAGGUCGUAGCAGGGAUUGCAAAAAGUCUCUCUUCCUGAAAUCCUCACAGGACACGCCUGAAGAUGCCGCCUCAACACAGGCUCAACUAGCCGGGGGUCGUACAGUACAUAGCCCGGGAACACUGGGGCAGGGGUUAAGGAAGGGUCUGGAAGGUGUGCCCAAGAAAAAGGAGAGGAAGAGAUCAGGGAAGAUAGCUGCCUCCAAACAAGGCAGAGCACUGAUAACCCACAAGUAUAGGUGAUCGCAACAGUUUUCGAGGGUAGAGUAUUCAACCCAAAUUUAUUGAUUCGACACAAGGGGAGCCAAAGAAUAUUCUCAAGUAUUAGCAGUUGAGUUGUCAAUUCAACCACACCUGGAUAACUUAGUAUCUGCAGCAAAGUAUUUAGUAGCAAAGUAAUAUGAUAGUAGUGGUAACGGUAAUGGUAGCAAAAGUAAUAUUUUUGGUAUUUUUUAGUGAUUGUAACAAUAGCAACGGAAAAGUAAAUAAGCGAAGAACAAUAUGUGGAAAGCUCAUAGGCAUUGGAUCGGUGAUGGAGAAUUAUGCCGGAUGCGGUUCAUCAUGUAACAAUCAUAACAUAGGGUGACACAGAACUAGCUCCAAUUCAUCAAUGUAAUGUAGGCAUGUAUUCCGAAUAUAGUCAUACGUGCUUAUGGAAAAGAACUUGCAUGACAUCUUUUGUCCUACCCUCCCGUGGCAGCGGGGUCCUAAUGGAAACUAAGGGAUAUUAAGGCCUCCCUUUAAUAGAGUACCGGAACAAAGCAUUAACACAUAGUGAAUACAUGAACUCCUCAAACUAUGGUCAUCACCGGGAGUGGUCCCGAUUAUUGUCACUUAGGGGUUGCCGGAUCAUAACACAUAGUAGGUGACUAUAGACUUGCAAGAUAGGAUCAAGAACUCACAUAUAUUCAUGAAAACAUAAUAGGUUCAGAUCUGAAAUCAUGGCACUCGGGCCCUAGUGACAAGCAUUAAGCAUAGCAAAGUCAUAGCAACAUCAAUUUCAGAACAUAGUGGAUACUAGGGAUCAAACCCUAACAAAACUAACUCGAUUACAUGAUAGAUCUCAUCCAACCCAUCACCGUCCAGCAAGCCUACGAUGGAAUUACUCACGCACGGCGGUGAGCAUCAUGAAAUUGGUGAUGGAAGAUGGUUGAUGAUGACGACGGCGAUGGAUUCCCCUCUCCGGAGCCCCGAUCGGACUCCAGAUCAGCCCUCCCGGGAGGUUUUAGGGCUUGGCGGCGGCUCCGUAUCGUAAAACGCGAUGAAUCCUUUUCUCUGAUUUUUUUCUCCCCGAAAGCAAAUAUAUAGAGUUGGAGUUGAGGUUGGAGGAGCUCCAGGGGGGCCACGAGGUAGGGGCGCGCCCUAGGGGGGGCGCCCCCCACCCUCGUGGCUAGGGUGUGGGCCCCCUGGUCUUCAUCUUUUGCAAGGAUUUUUUAUUAUUUCCAAAUAGACGUUCCGUGGAGUUUCAGGUCAUUCCGAGAAGUUUUGUUUCUACACAUAAAUAACACCAUGGAAAGUCUGCUGAAAACAGCGUCAGUCCGGGUUAGUUCCAUUCAAAUCAUGCAAGUUAGAGUCCAAAACAAGGGCAAAAGUGUUUGAAAAAGUAGAUACGACGGAGACGUAUCAACUCCCCCAAGCUUAAACCUUUUCUUGUCCUCAAGCAAUUCAGUUGAUAAACUGAAAGUGAUAAAGAAAAACUUUUACAAACUCUGUUUGCUCUAGUUGUUGUAAAUAUGUAAAGCCAACAUUCAUGUUUUCAGCAAAGAUUAUGACUAACCACAUUCACAAUAACUCUUAGGUCUCAUGUUUACUCAUAUCAAUAGCAUAAUCAACUAGCGAGCCAUAAUAAUAAAUCUCGGAUGACACCACUUUCUCAAAACAAUCAUGAUAUGAUAUAACAAGAUGGUAUCUCGCUAGCCCUUUCUGAGACCGCAAAACAUAAAUGCAGAGCACCUUUAAAGAUCAAGGACUGACUAGACAUUGUAAUUCAUGGUAAAAGAGAUCCAGUCAUAGUCAUACCCAAUAUAAAUUAAUAGUAAUGAAUGCAAAUGACAGCUGCGCUCUCCAGCUAGUGCUUUUUAAUAAGAGGGUGAUGACUCAACAUACAAGUAAAUAGAUAGGCCCUUCGCAGAGGGAAGCAGGGAUUUGUAGAGGUGCCAGAGCUCGGUUUUGAAAUAGAGAUAAAUAAUAUUUUGAGCGGCAUACUUUCAUUGUCAACAUAACAACCAAGAGAUGGCGAUAUCUUCCAUGCUACACACAUUAUAGGCGGUUCCCAAACAGAAUGGUAAAGUUUAUACUCCCCCUCCACCAACAAGCAUCAAUCCAUGACUUGCUCGAAACAACGAGUGUCUCCAACUAGCAACAGUCCCAAGGGGAGUUUUGUUUGCAAUUAUUUUGAUUUCAUUUGCAUAAAGCAUGGGACUGGGCAUCCCGGUGACCAGCCAUUUUCUCGUGAAUGAGGAGUGGAGUCCACUCCUCUUGAGAAUAACCCUCCUAACAUGGAAGAUAAUGGCAGCCCUAGUUGAUACAUGAGCUAUUCGAGCAUACAAAACAGAAUGUUUAUUUGAAGGUUUAGAGUUUGGCACAUACAAAUUUACUUGGAACGGCAGGUAAAUACCGCAUAUAGGAAGGUAUAGUGGACUCAUAUGGAAUAACUUUGGGGUUUACACUAGUAGAAAACAGGGCUUUGGUCACAGGGCAAUAUUAACAUUAGUCCCGGUUCAGUCACGAACCAGGACUAAUGUGAGCAUUGGUCCCGGUUCGUGCGGCUAAGGCAUUAGUCCCGGUUCACCUGAGCCCUUUAGUCCCGGUUUGAGACACGAACCGGGACUNNNNNNNNNNNNNNNNNNNNNNNNNNNNNNNNNNNNNNNNNNNNNNNNNNNNNNNNNNNNNNNNNNNNNNNNNNNNNNNNNNNNNNNNNNNNNNNNNNNNNNNNNNNNNNNNNNNNNNNNNNNNNNNNNNNNNNNNNNNNNNNNNNNNNNNNNNNNNNNNNNNNNNNNNNNNNNNNNNNNNNNNNNNNNNNNNNNNNNNNNNNNNNNNNNNNNNNNNNNNNNNNNNNNNNNNNNNNNNNNNNNNNNNNNNNNNNNNNNNNNNNNNNNNNNNNNNNNNNNNNNNNNNNNNNNNNNNNNNNNNNNNNNNNNNNNNNNNNNNNNNNNNNNNNNNNNNNNNNNNNNNNNNNNNNNNNNNNNNNNNNNNNNNNNUUUUGUAAAAAGCAAAAGAAAAUGAUAAAAACUUCAAAAAUUAAAAUCCUUCGAGAUGUAGUUAUGUUACUACAUCUACUAGUUAGGAAAAUUUCAAAACUUAAAUUUAGACAUGUUUUGCAAAAAGUGUAGGGAAAAUGUAAAACGGCUAUAACUUUUGCAUACGAUGUCAGAAAAAACGUAUAAUAUAUCAAAAUGUUCAGCACGAAAAUCCGCAUCCGAUUUUGACGGCCUAUGGCCUGUUUGCAAAUUUUUAGAAUCCUCAAAUUCUAAAAGGAAAAAAAGUUAUGCUCAAUUUUUUUUGAAUUUUUGUUAAAUCUGGUCAAACUAUGGUCAAACUACUUAUUCAAGAAGUAUUACUGUUACUAAAUAAUUAUUCAAGAAUAUUAGUGUUACUAAAUAAUUAUUUCAGUUUUUUUUGAAUUUUGGUCAAAUCUGGUCAAACUGUGGUCAAACAAUGGUCAAACUAAUUAUUCAAGAAAUAUUAGUGUUACUAAAUAAUUAUUUCAGUUUUUUUUUUGAAUUUUUGUCAAAUCUGGUCAAACUGUGGUCAAACUGUGGUCAAACUAUGGUCAAACUACUUGUUCAAGAAAUAUUAGUGUUACUAAAUAAUUAUUUUUUUUAGAACAAUUGUUUAAAACUCAAACAGUGAAAUGUGUGACUUCAUGCUCAAGCUAAAUUCCUGGGGGUUAAUAGGAUUGACAUCUUACUAUUGUGAAGAAAACAACAAGUGCAGACUUGGAAACGAGGGAGAAUAGAACCCGGAAGUUAAGCGUGCUCAGGCUAGAGUAGUGAGAGGAUGGGUGACCGUCCGGGAAGUUAGAUGAUUUGGAAUGAUGAGGGGUGAUUAGAGAUUAGAGGUUAAAUUGAGCAGUGAUUAGGGGUUAGAGGUUAAAAUAAUUCAGAAAUUUGAAAAAAAAAUCAAAAAAAAUUUGAAAAAAAAAUCAUAAAAUUUCCUUUAGUCCUGGUUGGUGUUACCAACCGGGACUAAAGGUGGAGCUCCAGGCUGCGGCCACGUGGACGGCCUUUAGUCCCGGUUCGUGUAAGAACCGGGACUAAAGGGGGAGGCUUUAGUAACGACCCUUUAGUCCCGGUUCCAGAACCGGGACUAAAGGCCCUUUUUCUACUAGUGUUAAGGGAUUGGAUGCACAAGCAGUAUUCCCGCUUAGUACAAGUGAAGGCGAGCAAAAGACUGGGAAGCGACCAACUAGAGAGCGACAACAGUCAUGAACAUGCAUUAAAAUUAAUAAACAUUGAGUGCAAGCAUGAGUAGGAUAUAAUCCACCAUGAACAUAAAUAUCGUGAAGGCUAUGUUGAUUUGUUCAACUACAUGUGUGAACAUGUGCCAAGUCAAGUCACUUAAAUCAUUCGAGGAUACCACCCCACUAUACCACAUCACAACCAUUUUAAUAGCAUGUUGGCACGCAAGGUAAACCAUUAUAGCUCAUAGCUAAUCAAGCAUGGCAUAAGCAACUAUGAUCUCUAAUUGUCAUUGCAAACAUGUUCAUUCAUAAUAAGCUGAAUCAGGAACGAUGAACUCAUCAUAUUUACAAAAACAAGAGAGGUCGAGUUCAUACCAGCUUUUCUCAUCUCAGUCAGUCCAUCAUAUAUCGUCAUAAUUGCCUUUCACUUGCACGACCGAACAAUGUGAAUAAUAAUAAUAGUGCGCGUGCAUUGGACUAAGCUGGAAUCUGCGAGCAUUCAAUAAACAGGAGAAGACAAGGCAAUAUGGGCUCUUGGUUAAAUCAACAAUAAUGCAUAUAAGAGCCACUUCAACAAUUUAAUCAUGGUCUUCUCCUACGACCCCCAAAGAAAAGAAAAGAAAUAAAACUAUUUACACGGGAAAGCUCCCAACAAACAAAAGAAGAACAAGAAAUCUUUUUGGGUUUUCUUUUUAAUUAUUACUACUACAGUAAGAAAAGUAAACUAACUAAAAGUUACACUAAUUUUUUUUGUUUUUCUUAAAGUUUAACAAACACACAAGAAGAAAGCAGGAAAAAGAAAAAAAAUAAACUAGCAUGGAUAUUACAGUGAAAGAGUAUGAGCACCGACAUUUAGCAAUGAGUGUGUGAACAUAAAUGUAAUGUCGGUGGGAAAUACGUACUCCCCCAAGCUUAGGCUUUUGGCCUAAGUUGGUUUAUUGCCAAGGAUGGCCUGGCGGAUAUCCGUAGUUGUAGCCAGGGUCGUACUGAGCUGCGGCAGUUAUCUCAGGAUCCCAAAAGUAAUCAGACUGUCGUGGAGGCUCAAAUUGUGGUUCCGGCUCCGGGGCUGGUUUAGGGUUCCGGUAGGCUUGAAUGGCCGCCCACGGAACGAGAUACGGACCUUCAGAUAAAUUAAACAAGGAAGGAGCAGGCAAGGUAAUAGUCUCAGGGUGAUGUUUAUCAAAGAACAAUUUGUAUUUAAGCUCCCCUUCCUUAUUCUUAACAAUAAAGUCAUGUGCUACCAUACUCUUAUAAUCUAAAUAAGCAUUGGGCAGCAAUUUUUCUUCUUUUUCAUAGUGCCUAAUAGGUAUGUUAUAAUGUGCAGCAAGGCAUGAAGCAUAAAUACCUCCAAAGAUGGGACCCUUAGUAUGGUUCAAACUUAACCGUUUAGCAAUAAUACCGCCCAUACUAACAGUGUUAUCGGAAAAUAAACAAUGACCAAAAUGAUAAUAUCAGGAACACUAAGGUUUCCACAGUUUCCGCGACCAAUCAAGCAACGACUAGCAAAUAUGGCAAAGUAGCGUAAAACGGGAAAAUGUAUGCUAGUGAUUCUUGCAUCGGAAACUUUCCUAGUUUCCCCUACAGUAAUAGUGUCAAUAAACCCAUCCACAUCUUUACGAUGUGGUUCAUCUAAGGUACCCUCGAAGGGUAUUUUGCAAACCUUGCAAAAUUCAUCUAGUGGCAUCUUCUUAACAACAUCAUAUAAAUGAAACUCUACUGAAGGAGGUGUUUCUUUAGGAAAAUAGUAGAAGUUUUGCACAAAAGUAUUGGUGAGUAAGAGAUACUGAUGACGUUGGUCGCGGAGGAAGUCGGUGAGGCUAGCAUUCUCAGCCAAUGAAUAGAAAUCAUCAUAAAUCCCGGCUUUUCUCAAGAAAUCAUCGGAAGGCCAUUCACACGGCCGAACCUCCGCGGUGCGAGGCAAAUUAUAUUUGGGCCUCUGUGCUUCUUCACUUUGCUUUUCCUUCGAGCUUCGGCUCGAUGAGCCCCUCAAAAAUCUCUUCAUUAUUUUCUGAAAUAUUCUGAAAUUUUUAGUAACUUCAAAUAAAAGUGAACCAAGCUCAACAAAAUUGAUAGCAACUACUCCUACAAGUGCCUAGAGACUAUAUCAUGCAUUAGAACUACUUGGAACCAUAUAAAUUUGACAUGCAAGCUCAAGAACAUGGUCACCUAGGCAGCCCAAAUUUGCAAUGAACAGAACACUAGAACAAAAACUAAUUGGACCAAUGGAGGAGUCACAUACCAAGGAACAAUCUCCCCAAGCAGUUUUGUGAGAGGUGCUUUGGGCAAGGAGAUCGAAAAUCGCAGCAAAAUGAGCUAGAACUCGUGCUUGAGCUGGAUAUUGGUGUUUGUGUGAGGAAGAAGGAGUGUAUGGGUGCAGGAAUAAGUGGAGGAGGGCCACUGUGGGCCCACAAGACAGGGGGCGCGCCCUCCACCCUCGUGGCCAGGUGCUUGCCCCUCCUGCUAUGUUCUCUGUGCCAGAUAUUCUCAAAAAUUCUAGAAAAAAUCAUAUUCCAUUUUCAGGGCAUUUGGAGAACUUUUAUUUUCGGCGUAUUUUUAUAUUGCACGGAUAAAACAGAAAACAGACAGACAAAUACUAUUUUUACUUUAUUUCAACUAAAUAACAGAAAGUAGAAAGAGGGUACAGAAGGUUGUGCUUCUAGUUUUAUCCAUCUCAUGCUCAUCAAAAAGAAUCCACUAACAAGGUUGAUCAAGUCUUGUUAACAAACUCGUUCCGAAUAACAUGAAACCGGAGAAAUUUCGAAUAACACUAUGUUACCUCAACGGGGAUAUGCACAUCCCCAAUAAUAAGAAUAUCAUAUUUCUUCUUGACAGUAGGAAGAGGAAAUUCAAAACCUCCAAAAAUAAUCGAUGGAAUUUUUCCAAUAGAAUUGAUACUAUGAACUUGAGGUUGUUUCCUCGGAAAGUGUACCGUAUGCUCAUUACCAUUAACAUGAAAAGUGACAUUGCCUUUGUUGCAAUCAAUAACAGCCCUUGCGGUAUUCAAAAAAGGUCUUCCAAGAAUAAUAGACAUACUAUCGUCCUCGGGAAUAUCAAGAAUAACAAAGUCCGUUAAAAUAGUAACAUUUGCAACCACAACAGGCACAUCCUCACAAAUACCGACAGGUAUAGCAGUUGAUUUAUCAGCCAUUUGCAAAGAUAUUUCAGUAGGUGUCAACUUAUUCAAAUCAAGUCUACGAUAUAAAGAGAGAGGCAUAACACUAACACCGGCUCCAAGAUCACAUAAAGCAGUUUUAACAUAGUUUCUUUUAAUGGAGCAUGGUAUAGUUGGUACCCCAGGAUCUCCUAGUUUCUUAGGUAUUCCACCCUUAAAAGUAUAAUUAGCAAGCAUGGUGGAAAUUUCAGCUUCUGGUAUCUUUCUUUUAUUAGUAACAAUAUCUUUCAUAUACUUAGCAUAAGGAUUCAUUUUGAGCAUAUCAGUUAAUCGCAUACGCAAAAAGAUAGGUCUAAUCAUUUCAGCAAAGCGCUCAAAAUCCUCAUCAUCCUUUUACUUGGAUGGUUUGGGAGGAAAAGGCAUGGGUUUCUGAACCCAAGCCUUUCUUUCUUUACCAUGUUUCCUAGCAACAAAGUCUCUCUUAUCAUAACGUUGAUUCUUUGAUGGGUUAUCAAGAUCAACAGCAGGUUCAAUUUCUACAUCAUUGUCAUUACUAGGUUGAGCAUCAUCAUGAACAUCAUCAUUAGCAUUUUCAUUAGGUUCAUGUUCAUUACCAGAUUGUGUUUCAGCAUCAGAAAUAGAAAUACCAUUUGGAUUCUCAGGUGUUUCAGCAAUAGGUUCACUAGAAGCAUGCAAAGUCCUAUCAUUUUUAUUUUUCUUCCUUUUAGAAGGACUAGGUGCAUCAAUAUUAUUUCUCUGAGAAUCUUGCUCAAUUCUUUUAGGAUGGCCUUUAGGAUAUAAAGGUUCCUGAGUCAUUCUACCAGUUCUAGUAGCCACUCUAACAGCAUAAUCAUUUUUCUUACUAUUCAAUUCAUUAAGCAAAUCAUUUUGAGCCUUAAGUACUUGUUCUACUUGAGUGGUGACCAUACAAGCAUGUUUACUAAUGAGUUUAAGUUCACCUCUAACAUUAGCCAUGUAAUUACCCAAGUGUUCAAUCAUAUAGGCAUUCUGUUUUAAUUGUCUACCAAAAUAAGCAUUGAAAUCUUCUUGCUUAACCAUAAAGUUAUCAAACUCAUCCAAGCAUUGGCUAGCAAUUUUAGUAGGAGGGAUUUCAGUUUUAUCAUAUCUAUAGAGAGAAUUUACCUUUACUACCUGUGUUGGGUUAUCAAGACCAUGAGUUUCGUCAAUAGGGAAUGGAUUAGGAUCAUAUGUUUCUUCAACAGGCGGUAAAUUAAGACCAUGUAUUUCUUCAAUAGGAGGUAAAUUCUUAACAUCUUCAGCUUUAAUACCUUUUUCUUUCAUAGAUUUCUUUGCCUCUUGCAUAUCUUCAGGACUGAGAAAUAGAACACCUCUCUUCUUCGGAGUUGGUUUAGGAAUAGGCUUAGGAAUUGGCUCAGGAAGUGUCCAAUUAUUUUCAUUUGUCAACAUAUUAUUCAAUAGAAUUUCAGCUUCAUCCGGUGUUCUUUCCCUGAAAACAGAACCAGCACAACUAUCCAGGUAAUCUCUGGAAGCAUCGGUUAGUCCAUUAUAAAAGAUAUCAAGUAUUUCAUUUUUCUUAAGAGGAUGAUCAGGCAAAGCAUUAAGUAACUUGAGAAGCCUCCCCCAAGCUUGUGGGAGAGUCUCUUCUUCAAUUUGCACAAAGUUAUAUAUAUCCCUUAAAGCAGCUUGUUUCUUAUGAGCAGGGAAAUAUUUAGCAGAGAAGUAAUAGAUCAUAUCCUGGGGACUACGGACACAACCAGGAUCAAGAGAAUUAAACCAUAUCUUAGCAUCACCCUUUAAUGAGAACGGAAAUAUUUUAAGGAUAUAAAAGUAGCGAGAUCUCUCAUCAUUAGUGAACAGGGUGGCUAUAUCAUUUAAUUUAGUAAGAUGUGCCACAACAGUUUCAGAUUCAUAGCCAUGAAAAGGAUCAGAUUCAACCAAAGUAAUUAUAUCAGGAUCAACAGAGAAUUCAUAAUCCUUAUCAGUAACACAGAUAGGUGAAGUAGCAAAAGCAGGGUCAGGUUUCAUUCUAUCAUUGAGAGAUUGCUGCUUCCAUUUAGCUAAUAACCUCUUGAGUUCAUAUCUAUCUUUGCAAGCUAAAAUAGCUAAAGAAGCUUCUUUAUCAAAAACAUAACCCUCAGGAAUAGCAGGCAAGUCUUCAUCAUCACUUUCAUCAAUAUAAUCGGUUUCAAUAAUUUCUUUCUCUCUAGCCCUAGCAAUUUGUUCAUCAAGAAAUUCACCAAGUGGCACAGUAGUAUCAAGCAUAGAAGUAGUUUCAUCAUAAGUAUCAUGCAUAGCAGAAGUGGCAUCAUCAAUAACAUGAGACAUAUCAGAACGAAUAGCAGAAGCAGGUUUAGGUGUCGCAAGCUUACUCAAAACAGAAGGUGAAUCAAGUGCAGAGCUAGAUGGCAGUUCCUUACCUCCCCUCAUAGUUGAGGGAUAAAUUGUUGUCUUAGCGUCUUUCAAGUUCUUCAUAGUGACCAGCAGAUAUAAAUCCCAAGUGACUCAAAGAAUAGAGCUAUGCUCCCCGGCAACGGCGCCAGAAAAUAGUCUUGAUAACCCACAAGUAUAGGGGAUCGCAACAGUUUUUGAGGGUAGAGUAUUCAACCCAAAUCUAUUGAUUCGACACAAGGGGAGCCAAACAAUAUUCUCAAGUAUUAGCAGUUGAGUUGUCAAUUCAACCACACCUGGAUAACUUAGUAUCUGCAGCAAAGUAUUUAGUAGCAAAGUAAUAUGAUAGUAGUGGUAACGGUAAUGGUAGCAAAAGUAAUAUUUUUGGUAUUUUGUAGUGAUUGUAACAAUAGCAACGGAAAAGUAAAUAAGCGAAGAACAAUAUGUGGAAAGCUCGUAGGCAUUGGAUCGGUGAUGGAGAAUUAUGCCGGAUGCGGUUCAUCAUGUAACAAUCAUAACAUAGGGUGACACAGAACUAGCUCCAAUUCAUCAAUGUAAUGUAGGCAUGUAUUCCGAAUAUAGUCAUACGUGCUUAUGGAAAAAAACUUGCAUGGCAUCUUUUGUCCUACCCUCCCGUGGCAGCGGGGUCCUAAUGGAAACUAAGGGAUAUUAAGGCCUCCUUUUAAUAGAGUACCGGAACAAAGCAUUAACACAUAGUGAAUACAUGAACUCCUCAAACUAUGGUCAUCACCGGGAGUGGUCCCGAUUAUUGUCACUUCGGGGUUGCCGGAUCAUAACACAUAGUAGGUGACUAUAGACUUGCAAGAUAGGAUCAAGAACUCACAUAUAUUCAUGAAAACAUAAUAGGUUCAGAUCUGAAAUCAUGGCACUCGAGCCCUAGUGACAAGCAUUAAGCAUAGCAAAGUCAUAGCAACAUCAAUCUCAGAACAUAGUGGAUACUAGGGAUCAAACCCUAACAAAACUAACUCGAUUACAUGAUAGAUCUCAUCCAACCCAUCACCGUCCAGCAAGCCUACGAUGGAAUUACUCACGCACGGCGGUGAGCAUCAUGAAAUUGGUGAUGGAAGAUGGUUGAUGAUGACGACGGCGAUGGAUUCCCCUCUCCGGAGCCCCGAUCAGACUCCAGAUCAGCCCUCCCGAGAGGUUUUAGGGCUUGGCGGCGGCUCCGUAUCGUAAACGUGAUGAAUCCUUUUCUCUGAUUUUUUUCUCCCCGAAAGCAAAUAUAUAGAGUUGGAGUUGAGGUCGGAGGAGCUCCAGGGGGCCCACGAGGUAGGGGGCGCGCCGGGCGCGCCCCCCACCCUCGUGGCUAGGGUGUGGGCCCACUGGUCUUCAUCUUUUGCAAGGAUUUUUUAUUAUUUCCAAAUAGACGUUCCGUGGAGUUUCAGGUCAUUCCGAGAACUUUUGUUUCUGCACAUGAAUAACACCAUGGAAAGUCUGCUGAAAACAGCGUCAGUCCGGGUUAGUUCCAUUCAAAUCAUGCAAGUUAGAGUCCAAAACAAGGGCAAAAGUGUUUGGAAAAGUAGAUACGGCGGAGACGUAUCAAGCACAUAGCAGCCAGACGAUGGAUUCUGAAGAGCGUGUACCCGUGAAAGGUGCGGCCAUGUUCCAUCUCACGGGCGAGCUGAUGCUACCGCCGAAACCGCUGGAGGCACUAUCAAGGGAUCUCAGGAGACUGCACGACCAUGUGUUGUCGACUAAGAAAAGCCUACUAGCCUCAAAGGAUCCAGGAUAUCCGACAUACGCGGCUCGUGUGCCUAAGGGGAAGUGCUACGUCGACACACGGCCCGCGGAGGUGUUCUUCCUGCAGUUUGACCAUAUCUUUGAGAUGUUUCUGACAAGGCGGCUCGAUUUUACAAUCAUCCGCCUUUUGCGCUACAUAUGAGCUCCGUCAUGAAGAGAGAAGAAGUCUCGCAAAUCUGUGUGGCGGAUCCGUACUACAUGCACGAGUCUUUCUUGAGUCUCGGCGACUUUGAGCGUGAAACUGCUAGGGACUACCUCCAAAACUUCAUGGUACAAAAUAAGGACCAGGAAAUUGUCCUCCUGCCUUAUCAUCCAAAGUAAGUCAGUUCCGGACAACCCUUUCGUACAUUUCAAUCAUUCAUUCUCGCUCAUAUGGAGAAUAAUUUGAGGUGUCUUUUCCCCGCAGCAACGGGCGCGCCGUCCUUAUCGUUCUUUACCCGCGAGUCUCCCACGCCGUGUAUUUCGACCCUUCCAGAGACUACGAGAAAAAGGACUACACCCACAUAAUGAAUAUUCUAGAUGAUGCUCUCCAAGGCUUCAGCAUUAGAGGUGGACACAUGCAGAUCAGGAAACAAAGGAACAAGAAGAUGGGUUUCGCGCAUAAAAUUAACUUCUCCUGCAUCCAUGUCCCAAAACCAAGCAAGAAGGAUGGAUUCUACAUCGUCCAUCUCAUGAUUGAGUUCAACACGGAUCACCAAAAGCUUCGCAUGACAAGCAGAAAUGAUAAUCAUAUCCACAAGUGGCUAGAAUCUCAUGGAGAAGCGGAUUAUAAACUUAGAGAUGACUUCUUUCGCAUCCAAAGGGACAUUGCGACAAUCAUCAUGAAAGAAGUCGUCGAUGAGAAGGGGAUGUUCCACCACGGCCCUAUAUCGCGAGCUGACGUCCGAACUCGCAUAGGCAUGCAACGUCUAGACCUCACGUUGUUCAAGAAGCUAGGGUCCAUCCUCGAUGAUAUGGAAGGAUGGAACUUCUAGUGAUUUACGAUGCCGAUGAUGAUGAUAUGUGUCGGUUGAACUUGUAUACUUUCUGUAGCGAUGAAACUUUGUGAUGUCCACGGUCCCUGCCGAACUUGCGUAACGCUACUUUGUUAGUUUGUGUACGAUGACCUGCGUACCUCUAGUUAAUUAGUUUGCGUAUUGUAUGUUGCAUCUAGUUGCUAACCCUUUCUUUUUCGUGUUGCUCUAGUAUAUUUUGUUGCAUAUGAUUGUACAUCCUCUUGACAAAGAUGCAUCUCUAACAGGUACCUAGUUUCUUGAUGGUGAAGUGCUAUGUCGUGUACGAAGGGAAGGUUCCGGGAGUGUAUGACGAGUGGCAUGAGUGUCAGGCGCAAGUCCAGGGGGUCUCGGGCGCCAGCCAUAAAGGCUUCAAAAGCAGACAAGAAGCACAAGCUAGUUACCUGAGGUUCAGGCGAGCGCGAGAGAGGACUCAUGACCGUCGCCUCAUGUACUGCAUAGUUCCACUAUCACUCAUAGUGAUAGCACUUCUCGCGUAUAUCAUUGUUUAGAUGGAUGACGUUGUAGUUGCAAGUAUUCGAGACUUGCAUGUAUCGCUAUUUUUGAGAUGAUGACGAGAUACCACUUUGUGUUGGAUGAUGAUUAUGAUGAGACUAUUUGUAUGUAUAUGCUAUGAUUACAUUUGUGGUCUCGCAGCGAUUUGUAUGUGUAUGAUGAUGACAUUUGUAUGUGCUAAAGAUUCUUGUAUAAAGCCUGUUCAAAUACAAAACAAAUAUGCAGAAAAAAAUAAAAAACUACUAAAAUUAGCAGUAGCGAGUGGAGGAAAGUUAGCAGCAGCGUCACUAUAGCAGUAGCGCGUACGGCCAAAGCGCGCUAGAGCUAUUAGCAGUAGCGAGUUUCCACGCAGCACGCUGCUGCUACACUUGUAUAGCAGUAGUGCGGGCGCGCACGCGCUGCUGCUAUGGGUUAGCUGUAGCGCCCUAUUAGUAGCAUCGGUGCCCGCGCUACUGGUAGGCCAAAAACCCGCGCUGCUGCUAGGCUUUUCCCUAGUAGUGUUCGGUUAGGAUCAGCCACAUCGUAGGCUGGCUUUGCUUUCUUUUUUAAUGUGCUGGCUGUGUCAGCCUAUUAUGUUUGCUUUUAAGUAGGACUGGACGUGUUGGCUGUGUGCAUCUAGUUAUGCAGAGGCCGGGCUUUCUAUGAAACGAUUGUAUCACCUCGAUAUUUCAAUUCAAUGAAAUGCUCUUUAUCGAAAAAAUCUCAGCCUCCCAUUUUGCACAAAAUAAGGCAGCAUCAUGCUAUUCUGUUGGAAAGCCUUUUCAAGUGAUUCCUGGUCAAGCAUGCCCAUCCUUUUGAUGCCUAUAGAUGUUUGGCCAGUUAUAAGAUCCUGGAAGCCCUGUAGAGAAUGCAACAGGUCAGAAGGAGAAUGAAUUUCAGCUGUUAUGCAAAAUCAACAACAGAAGCACAUCACCAUCUCAUGGACAGAUACUGAAUCAAUGAGUUAACUUACACGUAUCAGUGCCUUCCGAGCAAGCUGCAACUCAUCAUUGGCAUUCCUUUCCUUGAUAACCAAAGUCUGUGCAAAUGAUUGUAAUGUAUCACAAUGCUCUUCUAGCUCCUGAAUUUGCUCAGCCAUUUUCUUCUUUGAUUCAGAGUCUUCAUCACCUUGCAUGUGCUCCAUUGCUUCCAAUUGGCUCUGCAGCUGUUUAUUUUCUAACUCAAGCUUCUGCUUGGCAUUCCUUUCCUCCUCUGAAAUGUGAAAUAAUAUAGCGACUUGUUUCCCCUUCCGCAUUAUCAGUACAGGAAAACACUCAGAUAGCUAAGCUUCUCAAAAACUAAAAUUGUAAAAAAAAAAUAGAUGUUACCUCAUUUUUCUCUUGCUCAUUGUUAGAGCUAAUUAGUGAAGCCAGUUUAUCAAAGGAUAGCUGCUUGGCACUCCUUUCCUGCUCUAAUAAUAGAGCGACUUGUUUCUCCUUCUGCAUCCUUUCCUGCUCUAACUCCAAUAAUAGAGCUGCUUCUUUCUCCUUCUGCAUCAUCCAUAUGGAAAAACACUGAGAUAACUAAGCUUCUCAAAAACUAAAAUUGCCACACACAAAAAAUGUUACCUCAUUUUCCUCUUUCUCAUAGUUUGAGCUAAUUUUUGAAGCCAGUUCAUCCAAGGAUCGCUGCUGGGCUUUAGUUUCCUGCUCUAAUAAUAGAGCGACUUUUUUCACUAUCCGCAUCCUUUCCUGGCGUAACUCCAAUAAUAGAGCGGCUUCUUUCUCCUUCUGCAUUAUCCAUACAGAAAAACACUCAGAUAACUAAGCUUCUCAAAAACUAAAUGUGCCAAAAAAAAGAUGUUACCUCAUUUUUCUCUUGCUCAUAGUUAGAGCUAAUUUGUGAAGCCAGUUUAUCCAGGGAAUAUUGCUUGGCAUUCCUUUCCUGCUCUAAUAAUAAAGUGACUUGUUCCUCCUUCUGCAUUAUCAAUAGGGAAAAACAUGAACAUGAGUAGGUCUUCACAACAACUAAAAUUUUAAGAAAAAAUUACCUCAUGUUUCUCUUGCUCGUAGUUCCUUAUCUGAGGGAUACUUUGCGGAUCUAGUUCAUCCAGAUGCUUGGAAACUGAGUCAAGAUCAUGCAUCUUGGACUCCAGUUCGGAACUAAGCUUUUGAUAGUCAUCAAUAAUCCUCUGCGAAUAACUACGAGCAAGCUUCUGCAUCUUGCGAAUUUCUGGGAAAAAAAGUUCACUUUGAAUAAAUUAUUGAACACGUGAAAGCUCAAAAUGUGAGCAGAGGAAUGCAUUCAUGCUGAUGAGCAGACUAUAUCAGAGCAUGUAAUGAUGCAAAUAGCAAAAGAUCAACACGAACGUUCCUUGUAAGACUGGAGGUGCUGCUUCCUUUGCUCCGCCAUCCUGUCAACAGGUAAUAUGGUUGUUGUCAGCAACAAGAAUGUGUCAAAUAGGUGUUUGUACAUCCAGCCUACGGUUUCGUGCUAAAUUCAUGAUUUCAAAGAUUGUAACAUUCUCUAUUUAGUAGAUACAAGGUUGUUCCAUAAGUAAACAACGUGAUAAAUUUGGAGAUUAGUUUGGAGCUUGCAAACCAAAUACUUGCAUCCAAACGGAUAUCUACCAAAUCAGGGUACCACCUACCAAAGCAUUUCAACUAAAUUGGCACCUAUAUUUUGCCAAAAAUAACUGAUUACAAAAAAACAAAAGUGACAAAUAUGGUCUUAAUUUGGAGCUUGCAAACUAAAUACUUGUACCCGAGCCAAUAUCUCCCAAAUCAGGGUACAUAGCUAUUAAUCACAAGAACAUUUCAGCUAAAUUUUCUACCUAUGGCUGAAAAUAGCCAAUUAAAUGGAAGGCUACAUAGAAUUAAAUGCAUAUGACAUCCAACGAGCAGUGCAAACACAAGAACAACGACUAUUUCCAACCAUUUGUUUUGAGCAUAAUUAUAAGGAUCCGAAGGCACAGAAAUCAUAAACAAAGCAUGCAUCUCACAACGAAAGGCUGCGGCCGUCGAAGCGUGACAAGGCAUGGACCGGUAAGAGAGAGGCCAGACCUAACUACCAGCUACCAAGAGGAGGCAUGGAUCUGCAAGAGAGAGACGGGACCUAACUACCAACUACCAAGAGGAGGGGGGCACAAGAGCAUGUCGGAGCAAAGGAAACCGCGGACAAUAGCAAUCCAUGUACAGAAAAAAUAAAAGGGUGCGUUUCUUCCCAAGCAUCUAGCUAGGUCGUGCCAAAUCUUGAGAGGCAACGAACUACACCUCACUCUGCCACUGCCUAUCCAUCCGGAAUUCAUAAACCCCGGCGGAUCUGGACGGGACCGAAUAGAACCAAGAAAGAACCCACGAUAGACUACGGAUCUAAACCCCUCCGGCCGUCUCCGUCGCCGGGGUCUCCUCGCGCUUCCCGUGCUCAGAGAACAAACGGCAGCGACUCCAUCCAUCCUCCCACUAAUUCACGCCGCGCAGGAAGUACCAUAACUGAAUGCAGCACCCGGCAAACACACCAUGGAGCGUAGCAACUAGGGGCGGGAAGAUACGAUCACCACCCGAGGUCGAUCGCCGGCGCCAGCGGUGGUUGGUGGCUGUAGAGGAGGAGGGUUUUUGCCUCUCUCCUUCUCCCCCUCGUUUUCACCUCCCCGAGUUUGCCGUUCAUUUAAAAGAGAGAGGUGGGGGUGGGCACUGCUUGGUAAACUUCCUCCUCGGCGAGGUGGUAUGUGAAAAGAACGUGGCAAGAAGAGGAAACGACCAGUCACGCGUCGCUUGAGUGGAUCGCCGUAUGCUCGGUCUGAUCAUCGUACACAUUCUUGCCAUUAAAUUGGCUGCAGUGCUGACUAUAUAGUACCACGGCAUUGGUACUGGGUUUUAAUGCCAAUUUUGGUGUUUUGGAUGCUCAUACUAUAUUUGACACCUGGAAUUCAAGACGAGCAAAAGUUCCAGUUCUUGUUUGAAUGGCCAAGUGUGAAAUUGCACAUGUUCCCGGUCGUGGGGUGUGGCCUCUCCUUCGUGCACGCACAUCUUAAUUUUUUUGAAUGAUUUAAAGAUUGCUCACCAUACUUGCCGCACGGUAAAUACAAUCAUCUUCACGAUUGCCUCUAGGAACAUUUACCAUGGAUUCUAAGAUAAACUCCUCGUGAACACCUUAUAUCUUUUUUUGAAAGAAAAGGUAGAUCAUGUUCUACCUUAUACAUUCAAAACAGACCGUAGCCUGAGUGACCAAGGUCUUUUUACAUGAAGGCGUUGUGAGCGCCGCACAGAGCGUGCAGCAGGCCAACGCCAAGCCUGGGAAAUAGAACAAGGAAAGGUAGGAAGGAAGGAAAGAAGUAAAGCAGGAGGCAGGGAAAGCUUGGCAGCUAUUCUCGCACCAUUACAUCAGCCCAAGAAGAUAAACGAUCCCUGACAUUUCCCUCGGAUGCUUGCAGUGUCCAUAACUUGAUCAGGUCGGCCACCUCAAAAAGAACCCUCCGAGCUGUCCAACACUUGUUGUGGAAAACUUGCUCAUUCCGAGCAUGCCAAAGCGCAACAGCAGCUGCUGCAAAGAAGACAUGCCAGACCGCGCCAUGUGCCUCCUUUGCUAUGUCAGAGGCCAAGAAAUCUGCUGUAGACUCACAUGAGACUGCCAAAUCCAGGAGGCCGGCCUUUGCCCAAACAGUUUGUGCAAGUUGGCAUCUAAGCAGUAUAUGAUGCGUAGUCUCGGCUGCUGGGCAUAAAUCACAUCCGUUGUGCGUUACUAGCCUCGUCCAGUGCUUCUUUAUCAUAUUAUUCCGGGUGUUGUGCCUGUCCUUGAGGGUCAGCCAUAAAAAGGCGUGGUGUCGUUUGGGUAUGAUUCGGUCCCAAAUGUAACGAGCCAACGGGCAGUCCCUGCCCCUGAACGUAAGCAUCUUGUAAAAAAAAGCCGUAGAAAUCUUGCUAUCAAACGCUAGCGGCCUCCUGAUGUCUGCUCUAGCAGUUGUUGGUGAGAUGCAGCUUAGUAACUGAGUUAGUCUCUCGAGCUCCCGCAGCGCUGUGUAAGACAAAUUAGGGUGAAGUUGUAUCGCCCAGUGUCCAGAAACGUACUGUGAGACAACUGUGCAAGACUUGCAUCUGGCAAAGGUGAAAAGGGUUGGAAAGGAGUGGGAUAGCCGGCCAUUCUCUAUCCAAAGAUCAUACCAGAAUGAUAUAGUGGUGCCAUCUCCAAGCUCACACCUUGUGGACUGUAUGACAAACUGAAUAGAAGAUUUGAUGCAGCGCCAGAUGGCAGUGUCCGUAUUGUGCACCGUAAGUGGUAUCUCUUUAUGACAAUAUGUUGAUGCAAACCAUUGGUAACAUGGGACGUCGCUGGGCUGCAGGAUCCUUGUCAUGACCUUGCUUAUCAUUGCCAAGUUAUGCGCAUCAAGGUCAGGUACGCCCAAUCCUCCAUUCUGCUGCGGCGGGGUAACAUAAUCCCAUGCCACCAGGCACUGCCCACCUUGUGUGUGGUUCUUUCCUUGCCACAGAAAACCCCUCAUAAUCUGCUCUAGCUGCUGUAAGGAUUGCUUCGGCCAGAUGAAGCAGCCCAUGAAGUAGCUUGGGAUCGCUACCAGAACAGCAUUAAUCAAAGUUAGCCGUCCUCCCCAAGAAAGGAAAGUGGCCAGCCAACCUGAGAGGCGUUUGUCCACUUUGUGAAUAACAGGCAUUAGCAGCCCAUGUGUGAUCUUGUGCGUUGAGAGGGGCAGCCCAAGAUAGGUGCACGGGAAGGCAGACGGUUGACACUGUAAAAUUUGAGCAAUAUGUUGACAAACAGCCGGGUCGACACAAAUAGGGACAAAGGAACUCUUCUGGAAAUUAAUUGAGAGGCCGGUGAAGCUUGAAAAAGAUUCAAGAACCCUCUUGAUGAUGCCAACUUGCUGUGUAUCCCCUUGUAUCAGUAGGAGAGUGUCGUCCGCGUANNNNNNNNNNNNNNNNNNNNNNNNNNNNNNNNNNNNNNNNNNNNNNNNNNNNNNNNNNNNNNNNNNNNNNNNNNNNNNNNNNNNNNNNNNNNNNNNNNNNNNNNNNNNNNNNNNNNNNNNNNNNNNNNNNNNNNNNNNNNNNNNNNNNNNNNNNNNNNNNNNNNNNNNNNNNNNNNNNNNNNNNNNNNNNNNNNNNNNNNNNNNNNNNNNNNNNNNNNNNNNNNNNNNNNNNNNNNNNNNNNNNNNNNNNNNCCGAGCGGAUGUUUGAGCAGGCCAGCUUGAUGCUCUCUAUCACAACACCUUUGUAGAACAUCAGCAACUAGUAUGAACAGAUAAGGUGACAGUGCAUCCCCAUGUCUGAGGCCACAUUUGGAUUGUAUAUCUUCUCCCAAAUUUUACCAUUAAGAAGGACUUGAGAGGAGCUUGACGUGAAGAUGUUAGAAAUCCAGUGGUUCCAACGGCUCCCAAAACCCCUUGCCUGAAAAAUUUGGAACAGGGCAUCCCAACUGACACUGUCGAAGGCCUUCCGAAAAUCGAGUUUCAGUACGAUCAUAGGUUUCUUUCUCUUGGCUCCUUGCUGUACCAGUUCAGCUGCUAACAUAAAAUUCUCAAUAAUGCAUCGCCCAGGUAAAAAACCUAACUGCAGCGGAUGAAUCAUGGCUGGGAUGAGGCGUUGCAGUCGUGCAGCAAGCACUUUGGUUAUCAGCUUGGGCAAGCUGUGUACCAAGGAGAUGGGGCGGAAAUCUCUGAUAUCCGUUGGUGCUUCUUUCUUAGGUAUGAGCACAAUGUUUGCUACAUUGAUGCCGUGAAAGUUGCUGCCCAGUUCAUAUUUUCAGUUGGCUUGUAAUGUAGUCUAGUUGCACAUAUAUUGAUGUUUAGUUGGCAGGACACUAGUUGCACACACAUAUGCUUAGUUGGCGCGGCAAUGUAGUCUAGUUGCACACGCAUUGAUGUUUAGUUGGCAGGACUAUUGGCACACACAUAUACUCAGUUGGCGCGGCAAUAUAGUCUAGUUGCACACACAUUGAUGUUUAGUUGGCAGAAGGAUUAUUGGCACAUGCAUAUGCUUAGUUGGCGCGACAUGUAGUCUAGUUGCACAUAUAUUGAUAUUUAGUUGGCAGGAAGACUAGUUCGUCGAAACAUCCCCAUAUGGGAUCUACUUUUGAAGAGCACGUCGCGAGGGUUCCAACGGUGAAAACGGAUCUUAAUUCCGAAGCGUGAUCUAAAAGUUAUGACUUUUUAAAAAUUUGAAAAUCCAAAAUAAAUGCGUUCAUAUCUGUUCUUUAUAGUACUUUUUUAGUAUGUGAUACUUUUUCUAAUUAGAAUUGUUUUAUCAAUUGGAAGGAACAAAUUACCUUUUAUGGAUUAGGGACCAAAAUUAUCUGUUUUAGACCGGCCGCUCGGGAUGACUAGCGAGCAGCCGGCCGCUCGCUAGAUCGGUCCAAUAUUAAAUCCGGUAUGUUGAGCGUAAACAAAUAGGCAAUAGUUUAUUGAGAGAUUAGAGUGGGCAUAUUUUUAGGAAAAAAAUACAACCAUGGUAAAUCAAUGAAAUCAUGAAAAACAAUCCGUUUAUGUAUGCACACGUAAAACAGAGCUUUUUUGGAGAAAAAAAUAAAAGAAAGCUGCAACAUUGUGCGUCCAACUCCUAAGCAAAUAGACCACCACAACUGUGGUCAUAUAGAAUUAGACUCGCGGGUUGGCAAAUAUUGACCUCGCCCGGUGAUUGAAGAAAAAAUGUAUGACACAAGGUUUGCAGAACUAAUUAUCAAAUUCAGCGGACGUCAUGCUACACGGUCAUGUUUACAAAACCAGGCAACAAAAAUCCAAUGAUAGUAAAGUGCAUUGAUGUUUUAAAUUGUGCACAGAGCAAGAAUUAGUACAUACUACCUCUGAACAGUACAACAGUUGAAAGGUUGUCCAUGGUCAUAAAAAGAGUCUUAUUAUCAUCCAAGUCGGUGCGAAUCAGAUGUGAAACCUGAGUGCAACCACUCUGUACUGAAUAGACAUGCCAGUAACUUUAUACUGGGAGUUAAAAGCACGCCAGGCCCAUAAACUUAUCCGCCCCGUGAUGGUUUGGCCCAACAACUUAUAAAAGCUCACUCCGCCACCCAGGAACUAUCCCCCGAUGUGCAAAAAAACCCAAGCCCAAUCCCGAAGCUACAUUUGGCGCCAUGCUGGCGCAGGUGGGCCGAGGCAGUCGUCACGCCACUUUGCAGAAACCCCCGUCACGCUGGAAUUAAUUAACCCGCACUCCACAGCUGGGUUGCACGCGGAAAAUAUACAAAUAGGGGCUCAUAUCGUUUCGUUCUCCAUUUUCCGCCCUUGUCCGUUCGUCUCUUUCGGCUGAACUCACGCGGUGGCGACGCUUGCAGUUCCGGAUGACGUCAGCCACCUUGGCGACGUCGCCGGCGAGCUUUACGGCCAUGGAGCCGCCCGAUUCCGUCGGUUGUGUGCGGGAUCCCGGAGCUUUUCCUCCCGAUUACGGUACGCCCCUAAGUCUGCAUCUUUCCCUCUCUUUGUGGUACUUUUUUUGGGGGCAGGGGUUUGGUAGGAUUCUAGAAAUAGACGAUCGGUUGGAUGAACGGGCUAGGACGAUCUGGACGGCGGGCGCGCGGCAUGUAGUGCUUUGUUGUUGUUUUGUGUGUGUUCUGAUGGAUGGAUGCUGGUUAGGGUUUGGCGGCCUCAAGCUUUUUCGGAGAGAAAAGUUUGUAAUUUUGGUGGAUUUCAUAAGAAAAGUAAUGAUUUUAUACGUUGUGAAUAUGAAUGUUCAGUAUUGGUACUUAUUUUAGCAUGUAUGUAAACUGCUGCUGUAUUAUGCUGUUGUGAAUCUACUGCCAUGCCCUGUUUUCUGUCAGCAUUUUAAACUGCUGCUUAUUAUGCUGUUGUGAUAUACUGAUUUGGGAGUGUUUCCUGUUGUUGUAAUGCAGUGUGUGAUGCAGCUAUGGGGAUGGCAGUGGACACUCCUUUUUUCACACUGGAAAUAGAGCACAAUGGAUUUUUCUGUGGACCAAACAGCAACAUUGAAUACACAAGUGCUACUGUUGAGACACUGGACUAUCUGAAUGCAAACACUUUCUCAUAUUCUAUGAUUGAAAAUCAUUUGAAAUAGCUAGGCUAUCCUGUCAGUGAGCACAAUAUAUAUUGGUGUAGGCCUGAUCAUUUUUUGUCAGAUGGUCUGAUUCCCAUUAGAGGAGAUGGUGAUGUUCAACACAUGUUGAAAUCUAGUGCAGAUCAUGAUUGAUCACACUGGCUUCAUCCAAGUUUGCAGAGCUGAUGUCAUUUACAAAGGAAGCACGAUUUCUAGUUCAAGGGCUGUUUCUAUUGGUGCAGUUUCCAGUAGUACAAUUGUUCCAGCUGUUGAGGAAGAACCUGUGUCAGAUAUUGCAGCAGAUGCUUAUAGUGCAGAACAUAUUCAGAUUGAAGCUUUUGAGGAAGAACAAGCAGAUACAGACUCAGAUUUUAGUGAUAGUGACUAUGAGAUAGAUGAGGGAGAUGAUGAUCUAUUUGAUGACAACAUAGACUAUGAUGUGGCUGAAGAACAUGAGGAGGAGGAGCAAGAUGUGGAUCCAGAGUAUGUUCUUGAAGAUGAAGACUUGCAUCUGUCCAGAGAAGAAGAAGAGAAUUUGAAGUAUAAGUUCAGGGCCUUCAAUGCCAAAGUUGACAUGAAAUCCCCUAUCUUCAAAGUGGGGAUGGUAUUUACUGAUGUAAAAGAAUUAAGACAUGCUUUGACUGCAUACUCCAUUAGGAAUAGAGUCCAAGUCAACAAAGUGAAGAAUGAGAAGACAAGGCUAGAUGCUAUUUGUGAGAGAGGCUGCCCAUGGAUGCUGAAAGCUGGAAAUGACAAUAGAACAGGAGGGUUUGUUAUUAAGGCAUAUUCUGGAGAGCAUAGAUGUCAAAAGAAAUGGAAGUUGAAGUUACUAACUGCAAAAUUCCUCACACAGUAUUUAAUGGAAGAAUUCAGAAAUGACCAGAAGAUGGCACUAGGAACAUUUUCAAGGAAAGUAACCUCUGAGUUCAAUGUGACACCAAACAGAUGGAAACUUGCUAGAGCUAGGAAACAAGCUUUAAAGGAGAUACAUGGUGAUGAACAUGAACAGUUCAACAGGUUGUAUGAUUAUGGAAAUGAGUUAAGGAGGUGCAACCCAGGAUCCACAUUUCUUUUGUCUACUACACUUGUGAAGGACAAAGAUUUCCCAAUGGGCAGGAAGUGUCUGAAACAAUUGUACUGGUCAUAUGAUGCUUGUAAGAGAGGUUGGCUUAAGGGUUGUAGGCCAAUAAUUUUCAUUGAUGGAUGUCACAUGAAGACCAGAUACAAAGGGGUGAUGCUUAGUGCUGUAGGAAUAGACCCCAAUGAUUGUAUUUACCCUAUUGCCAUGAGCUGGGUAGAAGUGGAGUGCACAAGCUCUUGGGAGUGGUUUUUAACCACUCUUAGAGAUGAUCUGAAUAUAAUAAACACUGCUCCCUUUACAAUCAUGAGUGACAAGCAAAAGGGUUUAAUAAAUUCAGUUCAAAAAGUUUGGCCAGAUGCAGAGCACAGAUUUUGUGUCAGACACAUUUAUCAGAAUUUUCGUGAGAAGCACAAAGGAGAAGUGCUUAAGCAGGAUUUCUGGGCCCUUGCUAGAUCUACACAUGAAGUUAAGUGGAGAGAGAACUGCAAGAAGAUGGAUGACCAUAGCUCUGCUGCAUUUCAUUGGACAGAAAGAUUGGAUGUGAAGACAUGGGUCAAAGCAUUUUUCAGUGUUUUCAGAAAAUGUGACAUCUUGCUCAACAACAAUUCAGAAGUUUUUAACAGGUAUUAGUUCACCACCUUUAUGUUAUAAGCUACCUAACUUAUCACAGCCAUUUUAGCCUUCUUAUUUGGUAUAACUUGAUCUUCUUAUCUGGUAUAACUUGAUCUGCUUAUCUGAUACAACCUGAUAGCUUAUCUGAUAUAAGUUGAUUGCUUAUUUGAUAUAAGUUGAUAUGCUUAUUUGCCAUACAAGUUGUUCUGCUGAUCAUUUCUUAUCUGUUUUUUUUUGUCUGGACAGUUACAUCUUGGAUGCAAGAGAAAUGGCAGUACUUUCAAUGCUGGAAAAUAUAUUCUACAAGAUAAUGCAUAGGAUGAUGAGCAAACAAAGGGAAGCAGUGGAAAAAUGGACAGGGAACAGGGUUUGUCCUAAGAUAUUGAAAAAACUUGAAAAAAAUACAGAGUAUGCAGCUAACUGCCAUGUUUCUGGAGCUGGACAAGAGCUAUUCAGGGUUCAAUCUGGCAACUCCAGCUACACUGUUGAUCUGUGUUUGCACACCUGUGACUGUAAGAGAUGGCAGCUUUCAGGGGUUCCUUGUGGACAUGCAAUUGCAUGCUCGAGAGAGGAGAGAAUUGACCCACAGACUCUGGUGCAUGACUGCUAUACUGUGCAAACCUACCUGAAGGCCUAUGGAUAUACCCUAGUUCCUCUAAGAGACCCAAAGAAAUGGGAGAAGGUAAAUGGGGAGAGAGUGUACCCACCAGUGUUCACAAAGCAAGUUGGGAGGCCCAAGAAAAAUAGGAAGAAGAAACCUGAAGAGAAGUUGAAAGGUGGAGUAAGAUAUUUGAACAAAAAAGGUGUCAGCAUGCAUUGCUCCAUAUGUGGGAAAGCUGACCAUAACAGAAGGGGACACUACAAGUACAUGGAAGCCCAACUAGGAGGAGGAUAUGAGAUGGAUGAAAAUUUUGAUGAUCCAUCAUUUCUGCAGGUUUGUCUCCAACUUUUCUCUUCAAACUGUGCAUAAAUUUAAGUAGUUGGUGUCAUUACCCUGAUUUACUUAAGUCAUGUUCAUUUUGUAUGUGCAGAACAUAUUCCCUCACUUGGCAAACCCUAUCCUGGAUCCUAGCCAAGAACCAGAGUCUAUGGUUUUCAGCAUGGCACAAAGGCAGAGGUCAUACAGAGCUCCCAAUAGAAACCAUGGCCCAUUGCCAGAUCAAUCCUCUUUUGUUGCAGCUGCUGGUGCUGCAAUUCCCCAGCCUAGAGUUGUUACAACUGAAAUGAACAUAGGCAGGAUUACAAGGGCAACAAGAGGAAAUGAUCAAGCUGAAGGAUCUGCAGCAGCUGGUAGAGGUAACAAAAGGCAGAGAGGUGUUGGAAGAGGAAUAUCAACAGGUGCUGGGAGGGGGAGAGGAAGAUCAACAAGUGCUAGGAGGGGGAGAGGAUCUUUAGGCCUUGGGAGGGGUCAAGAAUUAGGUGUUGGCACAUCUUCAAGCUUUGUCAGGGGUCAAGAAUUUGGCAGGGGAGGAUUUGGUGUUGGCACAUCUUCAGGUUUUGGCAGGGUUGGCACAUCUUCAGGCUUUGGCAACGGAGGAUUUGGUGUUGGCACAUCUUUAGGCUUUGGCAGGGGAGGAUUUGGUGUUGGCAGCGGUGCGUAUUACAUGCUUUUUGGAGAAGACAUGCCAACACAAAUCCCAGAUCUGAAUGGGCAGCUGAUGUUUGAAUUAUCCUUGCAAGUUCAUGAAUGUACUUUAUUUUGUGGCAAGUUCAUGAAUGAACUUUAUUUUGUGGCAGCAAAUGUAAGAGUUCAUGAAUGAACUUCCUUUAGUGAUGUUAGGAUGACAGCAAACUCCAUGGUGCUGCUUUUAAGAUUAAAUGUAUUUUGUGACAGCAAACUUCGGGAUUGGGCUUGGGUUUUUUUGCACAUCGGGGGAUAGUUUCUGGGUGGCGGAGUGAGCGUUUGCAAGUUGGUGGGUCAAACCAUCACGGGGCGGACAAGUUAGUGGGGCUGGCGUGCUUUUAACUCUUAUACUGGAGACAAUGUCGCACCAGGCCUUUUAUUAAUGAGGAAGUUUAAUUAACAGUGUAGGUAGUUUUUUUUUUUGCGGGAAACAGUGCAGGUAGUUAAUCCAUACACAACCUGAUUAUAUUACUCCCCGUGAUAAAGAGUUGCGUUUCUACGAUGUUUCGUAUUCUAUACAUGCAACAGGAAUUUUCCAAGAAAAUUAAUUUUAAGAAACAACUAAAAUCAUAGUAGGGAUUUUUUUUUGAUGGAUUUGAAAGUGUUGUUCUUCUAAGCCUUGGUGCAUUGCACCCUCUCAUGAACAAUAAAUUUGAACAAGAUAGAAAACAAAAUUUAAAAAAUCUCAAAUUUUCUGACAUCAAAUACACUCAAACUUUUUUAGGUGCUUGAAUUUCAUCCAGAAAUAACAUUCGAGGAGCUCUACAAAAAAUGUUAGUGCUCAAUGUUUUGAGCUCUACAAAAAUGAUGAGCACUCAACUUUUUUAACCUUUUCAUUUGUUUCAUCACAGAGCUCAUUGACGUUUUACAUGUCGAAGUCAUCCUCUUUGUUUGGAAAGGGCGAUGAUAUCUUUGUGUAGGUCCGUCUGAAAGUUGGCGGAGUUGGCUGUGUCAUGGAGGAAGGGACGGCCGCCCCGGCAUCGCCCUUCGUUUUCUUCGGCACUUGAGACUUCUUUACCGCGGCAGCUGGGCGGCGUGGAUCAGAUGGGCUGCGGUGCUGCCCCACUUGGUUGUGGUCUCAAACAGACUUGACUGCCGAUGACAACCAGCGAUCGAUGAACCCUGGCCGGUCACACCGGCCGGGUGGGAGGCUGCAGGGGACCCGCACCGGGAGGCGGGGGUGGCGAAGCUGCGCCAGGAAUCUACAGCAACGACGUGGGAUCGACGGCGGCGGCAGCAGCUGUCGCAACGACAACGACGUUCGAGGCCAUGGCAGCGAUGUGGAUGCAAUCGGGCGGAAGCACGCGAUGGCAAGAGGCGGAGGAUCAUGUGAAACUUCACACUGAAACUGGCGCUACCUUCCCAUGAGGUAAUGCUACACGUACAAAAGGAUACGGGCUUUUACAUAAAUGUGGGUUUUGAUCCAAGAUUAGGGGGGAGGGGUCCACCCCCAUGAAAAUCAGGGGGAGAGAUUAGUUAGUUUGAAAAGAUCCUAGUCAGCAUGUAAAAGCAUGUAAACCUUUGUAUGUUUAGCAUUAUUGAUCUUUCCAUACAUGUGCGAGAAGUUAGGGCAAAUUACAGGACCCCGUAAAAAAAGGACGUCGAUAAAUGCCACACGUGUGGUGUAUCGGGUGGUUGUGCCGCACGCCCUGUGUGGCAUGGAGACGACCCCGCCCGCACGACCGCGUCCGGGCGCGCGCAGCCACAGACCGCACGUCCGGUGCAGCGCGAUCGCCCCGCACGAGCACGUACGGGCGAGCGAGCACGCGGCCCGCACGACUCGUCUCGGCCGUCGCCCCUCCCCGCCUACGAGCCACACGCCCCGCGUGUCAGUAACCACGCGUCCCGUCGCGAUUGCCAUGGUCCGGACCCUCUUCAGUUGCCAUGUUGCCAUGUUGCUGAACUACAGUUGCCAUGUCGGACAACUACAGUUGCCAUGUCGGACAACUACAGUUGUCAUGGUUGCUCAACUACAGUUGCCAUCUUAGGUCAAAGUGCCGGAGGCCAUUUUUGGGCAACUGCAGCUGUUGCCAUGUAUGGUCUGGUCUACUACAGUUACCAUGAUUUGAAAAACUUUACGAAUUGUCACCUACUAACACUGGACAGUUGCCAUGUAGCACUAAAAAACAUGGCAAAAAACAUGUUUCGGGUAAAGAGAGAGUUGCCGUCUGCUUACAAGCACGCUAGAGGCAGUUGCCAUGUAUCCUGCAAAAACACAUGGCAACUGAUAGCUUUUGGUGUGUGGAAGAGGAGACGGGCAUGUGGGCGAUGGUGGUAUCUUUAAGAGUUGCCACCUACUAACACUAGACAGUUGCCAUGUAGCGCUACAAACAGACGUGGCAACAAUAACAUGUUCGGGCGAAAGAGAGUUGCCAUCUGUUUACAAUCACAAAUAUGGCAGUUGCCAUGUACCCCUCAAAAGACAUGGCAAAUGACAGUUUGGGUGUGGGAGAGUGGGAGAAUGGGCAGUCGUGGGAGAUGGGGAACAGAAGUGGUGCGUGGCGUGCGGGCGCGACAUCAGUUUCAUCGCACGCCCCGACCGGCGAACCGUUGACCGCGGAGAGAAAACGGCGUGCAGGCGAACUCCCUCACACGCCACACACACGAGUUAUCCUACAUGGCACACAAAUUCAGUCGUUUCAUGCCAAGAUUCAUGCAAAAAGCGCUGGACGGCGAUGGAGGCGUGUGGGUGAGUUGGCUAACGCCCACACGUGUGGGCGUUAGUGUUUUCAAAAAAAUGCGUUUACGGGAACUGUUAGAAGGCCUUUCCUCCUAAAUGAUAGUUUUUAUGGAUAUGGAAGCUAUUGGAGAUGCUCUAAUGCCACACCGCCCCUUUGACCGCCACCGGUUGGAACCAUGAGAAAAUAGAGGCAUGGCGAGCAGAGAGGAGGCACAUCAUGGUCGACUAUUGAGAAAGAGAAUAUGGGAUACGCGAGGUGUGGCGGUGGAGACGGAGAGGAAACAUGAAAAGUACUACCUUCGUCCGGGUUUACUAGUCUCCCCCAUAUUUUCAGUCAUAUUUUGACCAUUAAAUUUAACUAGUAAAAUAUAAGUUAUAUGUAAUAAAAAUAAUAUCAUCAUUAUUAUUAUUAUUAUUAUUAUUAUUAUUAUUAUUAUUAUUAUGACAUACAUCAAUACAUUAAUAUUCUGCUAGUCAAAUAUGUCACCUCCUGGUUAAUCGGCUGUCAAGCCAAAAAAAAACCUGUCAAAAUCGGAUCUUUGCAGGUUUAAAGAUUGCAGUAUACAUGUCCCGUCUAAAAUCCCCAUCACACAUGUAUAUAUCUCGUCUGGAAUACCCAAGUCCAAGUGAAUGGAUGAGUGAAAUGCAUUGUAGGUCCCUUGAAAAAAAGUUUGUGAAUGAUGAAUUUGGAAAAGAUGUUCGCAACUUAAAAAAGAGUUCGCGAACGAUAAAUUUUAAAAGAAAAGAAAAUAUGUUCGCGAACGAUAAAUUUGAAAAUAUGUUCGCGAACAACAAAUACUGUUUGUGAAUAUGGAAAAGUGUCGCGAACGAUUAAUUUGAAGAAAAGUUCCCAAACGAUGAAUUUAGAAAAAAUGUUUUGCUACUUUAAAAAAGUGUCUCCGAACGAUAAAUUUUAAAAGAAAAGAAAAUAUGUUUGCAAACCACAAAUAUUGUUCGUGAAUAAUAAAUAUGAAAAUAUGUUUGUGAACCAGAAAAAAUGUUCGCGAGUUUGGGAAAAAUGUUCGUGAGUUUAAAAAAAUGUUAGCAAACAAUGAAUUUUAAAAGUUUGCACAAAUUUAAUAAAUGUUCCAUCAUUUUUUUAAUCUUUUAGUGAUUUUGAAAAAGUUUUCGAGUUUAAAAAUGUUCAUGAAUUUGCAAAAAUAUUUGGGGUUAAUAAUAAAUCUUCAUGAAUUUGAUGUUGGCGAACAUUUUUUUUAAGGUCGUGAACAUUUUUUCCAUAGUCACGAACAUUUUUUUGAAACCAUGAAUUUGAAUAUAUUUGGAGUGAAGUGCAUUUAUCAUUCCCCAGAAUUUAUUUGAAUUUAUUUGCUUAUUUCGGUAACCGGACGUUAGCUUCCAGGCCCCCUGUCCGAUGUGUCACGGGCCAACAGCGCCGGCUGGCCGGUCAGACAAAUUUUGGACCUAAAUGACACACUUACUGCAUUUUGAGGAUCUGGAUACCGAUUUUCAUAGUUUGAGGAUCUAGAUGACACACCUAAAGUAGUUCAGGGACCUACAGUGCACUUCACUCUAAAUGGAUGGAUGGAUGUAGCAAUGAAACGUACACAUCAGUGUGCCACACAACGAGUGAUUCAUGCACAGACAUCACCAAAACUUACAUCAUGUCUCGAAUGCUAAACGCAUUCCACUGAUUUCACCUUCACAAAUCACAAGGCACGGACAACUUAUAAUUUUUUUCCUCUGUUGCCAAACCUAGUUCUCUGAACGCAAGGAUGCUGCUGUGCACAACCAGUUACAGGAGAGAAACCUAGUUCUCUGUUAACUUCACAGACUGCUGCUUUCGCGUCCAUCAUCGCCAUCAUCAUCAGUUUACUAUUACUGUAGUACCAAGCGCGCAAGCAAAUGGGGUAAAACCCCAAAAGGGUUUACUCCUUCUACCAAGCUAGAAACAGUCUUAACCUUUCUCGAGUACUAACUCUUUUUAACAACAGCCAGUUGUGCCUGAGUUCUGUUGCCAAAGAGACGGGUAACUCCGCCUGCUAUGCAUAGUUACCGUUGGCGCUACGUGUUGAACUGAUCGCUUCAAAAAUUACAGUACCUGGUCACAAGGGACCGGCGCAGGACGAAGAAAUAAGCUGGAAUCGCCAACACAAACAGAGCUUAUAAGGUCAGAUCUGCCUCCUGCUCUUCCUGUUGAUCUUCCCUCGCCAGUCAGCAAUGGGCAGCUGAGACGCAAACUUGUAUUGGUAACUUAGAUUAAUCAACUUCCGCACCUAUAAAAAUGGUGUAUAUCAUUUUCUCGAAAAAAGAAGAAGAAAUGCUGUACUUGAGAGUUAAAAAAGAAGGAAUGAAUAGAUGAUGUACCUGAUGUGGACGCGAGAGCGAUAUGUGUGACCAGUUUGUGGCGCUCAUCACUUUUCAACUUCUCUCCACAUGCAGCAGGACGAUUUCUUCAGAGGAAUAAUCUGCAGGGCACACAGCCUCUUAUAUUUCACCCAUAGAGAUGACCACCACAUUUCUCCCCGGUUUUAGAACUAUUAAAGGGAAACCUGAAGCAUAUUUCAGCAUGAGCUGCUUUUGCUUAUAAAUUUCUCCCGAUAACAGGCACGACUUGGUAAUCUAAUUUAUUCCGAUUACAUAUAUUUGCUCUAGAACAACCACAAAUGGCAGUUAAUCAGUGGUAAUAACAACCAAACAAAGUGGGAUGCAAUUCUGCGUUUGCUCUUCUUUUCUCUUCUGUUCUGUAGACGGUCUGCAGUUAAUACAGACACGGCUGGACACCUUCAGUUAUGCAUGACGUGGUCCUGUAUAGCUUUCUUACUCGAUUACAAAAACAAUUCUCCCUGCAUUACCAAAACAAUUCGAUCAGCUUCAACUCACUACAAACCGAUGUAACAUAAAUGAACCUAAGAAACAAAUUUAGUCAAGGUCGCUGUAAAAGGUUAAAAUUGCUGCUGAACCGGCUUCACUCAAAAGCUAAAUUAAGAGGUAGAUAAUUCACGCCAUGAAGAAGAAACAUCUUGUCAAAUCUCGGUUCUACAGAGCACAAAAUAAUAACAGCAGUUGCAUAUUCACUAAAGCGCGAUAGUUCUUGAGACCAUAUCGUUGAACUGUCAUGCAAAAUCAACUAAAGCUAUCUAGAAACACUGUUGCUUUGCACAACUAAAGUUUAAACAAAUCCUAUGUCCAUUCUGCUUCUUGGGACUAGGAACUUCUCAAAAUGAAACUUGGGGUACCAAAGCUAAUUGGACAUAUCACAUCUCACACAGUCCAUUCUGCUUCUUGGGACUAAGAAAAAAAAUCUCACCAUAGAAAAAACUGAACUGAAUACAAUGAAUUGCUAAAGAUUCUGUCUAGUAAUAAUCCCAUACCAAGCUACGCCGAAACACAAUUUAAGUUAUGUAAGAAAAUCAUAUUCCAGGUUUUAUGUUCAUAAUCUCAAACAGAGUCCGUGAACAUGAGCAUACAAGUCACCUCUUCAUCAUAUGCAUGUCCGUGAAACAAUUCUACAGCAUAGCUCUAUAUAUUCAUAAAAAUUAGCACUUCUAUAAAAGAAGCCUGUAUCGUCCCAAAUAGAUUCAAAGAAUUCAGUGAUAGUUACUAACCUUAGUAGUUCUCAUGAUAUCUCCUUGCAGAAUCUAGAGCUUUGAAGAUACCAACUCACGACUGGUGCAAAUAGCAUGUUCAUAAAAUUCUCUCUCCAGCAUCUAAGACCAUAAACAUGGAUUCCGUUCUUCAAGAUAUGAUGUUUGUACAAACCAAACUCCAUAUCUGGAGUCAAUCUUAGGGACCAGGCAGCUGUGAGAACAUAUCUCCUUACAUCUCGGAGGUAAAUAUGCUGUUUCACACACACCCAGCUUCACAGAAAAAUCCCUAUGUAUGUGAGCCCUUAUUGGGUAAGCAUUUCAAACUCUCACAGCCCUCAACAGAGACGGUUUCCAGUGAUGAGAAGUCUCCCUGAAUUGACUCUAUUAACCUCAACUGGUCACAGAAUCGAAUAUCAAGAUGGCCAAGUUUAUGAAGUUGCCCUGACAGGACCUCAAGUUUAGGGCAGUCCGUGAUAAUUAUUGUCCUCACAGAUGAUGGGAGAUCAAUAAUUUCUAGCAAUCCUUCACAAUAUGCUAUCCAAAGAUAUUCUAAACAUGGUAGGGGACGAUUCACUGUUGAUGGCAAUGAACCUGGUACAGUUGUGAAUGCAGUAAAUUUACUGCAAGAUUCUGACAAUUCCAGGUUGUUCUGCUGUUCAAAAUACUGGCUCCUUAUUUGUUUAUCCAGCUUUCCCCAUAUAAACUCAAGCUUAGGGCAACUCCAAAUGUGUACUUCCUUAAGAUACAAGGGAAAAUCGAGAAGCUCUACCAAACUUUGACAACUUAUUAGUGUUAGAGAUUCCAGGCAUGGUAGAGAAUGAUUCCUUGCCAGAGACGAGGGAUCUUGUUCAAUUGCAGAGGCACUAAGGCCACUACAGGAGUCUGAUAAUGUCAAGUCAUCUGGGUGUUCAACAUAAAAACUCUGACUUUCAGUACUCUGCUUACCCCAUAUGAACUCAAGCUUACUGCAUCUCUCAAUAUAUAGUUCCUUCAAUGAUGGAGGAAGGCUGAAAAUCUCAACCAAGUUUGGACAACUUUUUAUUUCCAAAAAUUCAAGACAUGGUAGGAGCUGAUUUCCUUCGGAUACUGAUUCUUCAAGAAUCUUUGCAGAUCCAAUAAGAUUAUUGCAACAAUGAACUGUUAAUCUGUUCAAGGAUACCAAGCAUUGGAGCUCUUUUAAUGGCCAGUACAUAAGCUCAUCACAAGAAAUGAUUUCCAGAUAGCUAAGGUUUACAAAAUAUUUCCAGCUUGUGUGGAAGAAAUAGCUUCCACAUAGCUCCAUAGCUGAAUGAGAAGAUCUAUGGUUCCAUUUCCCCUUGCCAUCUACCUGUUGAAUUGAACAUUGAACGUGCGAGGGAGAAUAAGGUGCGAUUUUCAAUCUUGCAUUGGAAAAUGCAGUCAUAUAUCUGGCCAUGGAUAACCAAAUCAGUGGCCUAUCUUCUGGAAACGCUAAUACUCUAAGCCUUGGUGCUUCAGGUAGAGUUGAUAGCUCUGGACAAUCUAUAAUAUUGGCCUCCUCAAGCAGCGGAAAUGUUGAUUGUUCUCCACAUAUUUCUUCUUUUUUUCCCCAUUUUCUCAAACUCUUCAAGCCAUGUAACAUGAGUUUCUUUAAUGCUGGAAAUGCUGAGCGAGCCAUAUUAUCAUUGCAGCUAGAAGAUUGUCCAAGCAUUGGUGGUUCUGGUAAGUUUGUCAGCUUAUUGCAUCUCCCAAUUGAUAGUUCCUCUAGAAGGGGAAACAACAAUUGGUGUCCAUGUCUUCCUUUUACUUCCCACCAUCCAUUCAAAAUCUUCAAAUCAAGUAACACAAGCUCCUUCAAUUUCGGAAAUGUUGAGGAUGUUAAAGUGCCUCCAUCACCGAUGCAUAGGCAGUGCAACCUAUCCAUCCUUUCCAAAUAAAGAACCUGAAGAGCUGGCAAUUGCCACAGCUGGGGAAGUCUGUCACACAUUGUGCAACUGACUAGGCUCAACUUGACUAGAUCUUGCAUCACACUCAGGUUUGUCAUCCAAGUUGGAAACCUAAUGCUUCUAUAGGAAUCCACCAGUAAAAUCUGAAGACCACGGUUAGGAGUAAAAGCAUCUAGCACCUUUUCAUGAAAAUCAACUUCACUGCAAUCAUUCUUCCAUGCAAAAGAUAGCUGAGUGAGGUCCUUUUUACCCCCAUGGUUACCCAUUGUUAUAUCUGCUUCUGUUACAUUUUCUAGAUGGCAUAGCUGUAGCUGACCUCGAAGGUUCAUGUGCCUCAGUUCUCCAAUGCUACUACAGCCAGAGCUACAGCCUACAACAAAAUAUGUCAGCGUCUGUAGGGAAGUUAACCAUCCAAGAUUUGGAGGCAUGCACUUUAAGGACAGACAUCCAUCAGUAUAUAGGUGCCGAAGGCCAGUCAUGUACUUCAUAUCCUUUGGAAGUCCACUAAGACGUUCACAUCCAGAAAGGUUCAACGUCUGUAGGUUAUACAUGAUGCAGAUUUCUUCAGGAAGUGCCUUGAUAUGACAAUUGCCGGAGAGGUCGAGAUACCUGAGGUGCUUCAGGUGCUUUGGUACAAAUGGAAGCCCACUCGACCUGUAGUAACAGAGCUGCAGUGCUCGAAGAGAAGUGCAUUUUGAUAAAUGUCGUACGGAAUUACUAGCAUCAAUACUGCCCAACAUUGUCUGGAUACCUGAACAUGUUUCCUUCAGUGUAGCACUCAAGAAGGUUCCAGGACCAUGGGAUGAUAAGAACAAAUGGCGAACAGUGUAUGGCAAAAUCUCCAUAUAGUUCAGCCUCUCCUCUAUAGUAACACAUUCUUUUCCCAUCACAGACAGUGCAACAUCAUGCAUAAGAUCAUGGACAGUACAUGUGGUCAUAUAGUUGUUUCCACUUCCAUCCUGGUUUACAUCUUGAAAGAAUGACCUUGAGACAAGCUCAUUGAAUAUUUGUUUACCUUUUGUUUCUGGACGGAUUGCAUCUUCUGAUGGAAUGAAGUCAUUUGCCAUCCAUAACUGUAUCAGUUUUUCCACAUUAAUCACAUAAUUUUUUGGAAAGACGGCACAAAAGGCAAAGCAUUGCUUCAUGUGUGCAGGUAAAUCAUUGUAGCUGAGCUUGAGUAUAGGUAAAAUCCCACUCUCCUCAUCACAUAUACUGCUUUUUUUUAACACAGCUCCCCACUCUUCCACGCUUUUUUGGUUGCUUAACAUAGAUCCCAAUGCUUUUGCGGCUAAAGGGGACCCAUGGCACCUGUCCACGAUCUCCUUGCCAAUCUGAACCAGCUCAUCAGGCUUUUGUUCAUUCAAUCCAAAUGCUCUUUUCUCAAAUAUUGCAAGCAAAUCUUUUUUGUCCAUCUUUACCAAUUGAUGGGCCUGAGCUGUUCCCAUGAUUUGAGCUACUCUUUCAUCACGAGUUGUCAUCAAUAUUGCACUCCCAGAACCACCACACUGUUGAAGACAGUAUUUUAGCUUUGCCCACUUAUCAGUAUCGCGAUUCCAUACAUCAUCCAAGACAAGGAGGUACCUCCUUCCACUGAUUUCUUGCUGAAGCUUCUCCAGUGCACUUUCACUGUCUUUCUCGGUUGACAUACUGAUCUUAUUAGCAAUGGCUGUAACAUCAAAAUCAUCCAAAACACACACCCACUUCCGGAGCUGGAAAUGCUUUUGGAUAUCAGGAUCAUUGUAAAUGAUCUGUGCAAAAGUGGUCUUCCCCAAACCACCCAUUCCAACAACUGGAAGGACCAAUACGUCCUUGUUUGUAGAAUGAGCAAGCAACAUGUCAACAAUCUUCCACUUCUCUGCCUCUCUGCUGAUAAUAUUCUCAGAGUCAAUGAUGAUCGAAUCUGUCUGUCGCCACUGCUUGGACGCUGGCAUUUCUUGUCGAUAUUUGAACCCAAAGGCAUUCAUCUCAGCAACGAGAACCUCAAUGGUAUGCACAAUCUUGCGCAGCUUCUUGCCCAUCCUGUAACGAAACAGAAUAGGGCUGUGAGCCGGGCGGAGCAUUACUGCAUCAGUGCUGAAUUUGUUGUCUUGCCCCUUCCUCUUCGCUUCACGGCGGAGCGCUUCAUACUUGAACUCAUCGAAAACAUCGUUAGCUUUGUACGCAACAGCCUUGAGUGCUUUGAGCCAAGCACUCACCCCAGGUCGGUGAGUCCCCUGCUCCUCCGCGUCAGUUAUGACGUCCAAUAUGGCUGGCAGCUUGCGCUCCAGAACUGCGAGCUGCUCUUCCAUACCAUCCAUCUCCUGGUAUUGCCGAACAAGAUAACUGGACACCUUCCGGUUCACCAUGGAAAUGAGAGGGGCGAGCAGUAUGCUUGUUGCCAUGGGCACAAAAAUUGCAGAAUAAACUAGCUAACUCAGAGUGGCAACAAGAGACCAAUGGAGAUGUGCUCAAUCAUGAGAGAGAGAGAGAGAGAGCGGGGAGGCUUGAUGAACUGACAACCAGUUGCAAACAAAACAGAAUAAACACAAGUGAGAGUGAAAGAAGUGAUAUUUUUUUGGAAGUCACAGUGACAUUUGAGGCAGGAAGGAACCAUCUCCUUAUCUCAAACAUGUCUCUUGACUUGACUUACUGUUUUGAGUCAGUCUACCACUAGCUCCAUUCUUAAGUACCUGAUAUUCUAAAAAGCGAGCAGUCAAAUUUCCAUAACUUUUGAUUAAUGAUAUGUAAAUGAAUUAUUUUGAUUGUUCAAAAAAUGGUACCAUCAGAUUUGUCCUGAAACUAUUUUUAUUAAUGCAUUUUAAAUUGUUUUACUAACAUAUUCAUAUGAAUACAAUUGUCAAAGCUACAUCUCGUAGAUUGUGUGCAUAUCUGUUAAAUCAUGUAUUUGGCAGUGAAACAAACAGUUGCUGCAUUUGUGGGAAAGUUGAGCAAUGUGUGGCUGCGAGCCAAACAUGCCCGGGGUAUGGAAUUGGGGCCCUCCCACGAACAACCACUGUCAAGUGUACUUUGAUUGUAGGAACUUGAGAGCUAACUUUUUAGUGUAUGCUACAUCCGACUCCUAAUUUUGGUCCUGGUGUACGUACACAGCAAGGAUUUGGCUAAUACCCAGGUUCUGCUGUUUCUUUUAUUUAUCGGUAAUUCACCGCUAAUUUGGCAGUUACUGCCUCCUAGAACCAAGUAUGGACAAUUUACAGUCGUUACUAGUAGAUACUUAGGCAACAUGUGUAGAACUCCAGGGAUAAUUUCAUGGGCUGAUUAGGCAUCGCCUACUUGCUCGCAUGUGAAGGUGUCGCGCUAGACUAAUGGAAAUACACAUUUGGCAACCCUUACACUCUCCCCUCUUUGACUGCAACUGCAAGUUUGCAACACACAUGCAGCAGCGUUGUGGCAUUUCCACAAACACCUCAUCAGCAUAAGGAGGCCCCUGCCGAUGAACUCGACUUUGAACUAGUGGAAUUGUCACAAACCUAGGACGAGACGCAGAUUCUAGGAUGGCGGUGACGACUUCUUACCAAUCUGGCGCUGCUGGAGCCGGACACUGCGUCGUCAGGGUCCUUCAGGUGGUAGACGAGCCGCUCGUUCUGCAUCGCCAGCUGCUGCGCCCUCCCGCCGCCGGGGCCGCCUAGGUAGGCGGAGGAGAAGGCGAGGUUUUUUUUUUUGAGGGGAAGGAGAAGGCGAGGUGGCGGCGGUGCAGGGGAGCGAGCCGUGGGCCCUCCGCCUCGGCUGUUACGCAGAGACAAGAAUGGCGACCCAGACAGUUUACGUGGUUCGUGGGUUGUCAGAUGUUCUGGGCCCUUCUUGGUAGGUUUAGGCUUCUGUAGGCCCAACUCUUCCCUCCCUUUCCGUGCGAGCGUACACUCGCCAGGCCCAACUCCCCCCUUUCCGUGCGAGCGUACACUCGCCGGAGCUGCAGCGGCGGCAGAGCUCGCUCGCCCAACUAUGCUCAUGGGACGUGACACUGACUGACAUCUAACAGUAAAUUUCAAAGAGGACUACCAUCUAACAGUACAUUUUGUUUAAAAGCUUACCUGAUUCCAUCUCAAACCAGCUCCUACCAGCAAACAUCUUGAGUUGAUGAUAAAGCACAAGCAUCACAAGACCAGAGCAGCAAACAGGCACAGGGCAUGAGCAACAAGGAGCAAGCAGUGCUCAUGGGAACGUUCUGGUUUCUAUUACCGCAAUGUCGAAAUUAUUUCCCCAAAACGACGCGACACCAGGCACAAGGGGGAAGAUCACUCGGCGCCGACAGGAGGCGCUCUUAUUACAUUGAUCGGUCGAUGGCACGAACGCCAGCUCAUUUCGUUUGGGUUUUACACUGAGAGAGGCGUUUGGGCAGCAGCUUCCUCCUCACAAGCUCGACAGGUACGCCUGCCACCCUUGGAUGCGGUACUCCCUGGCCGUCUGCUCGGGGUCGCUCGCCUUGAUGAUCCCGCGCCCCACAAUGAUUAUAUCGCUGCCUCUGUCGUUUAUCACCUGAAGGACACAGCCAGGUUGCAGGUGAGACGCAACAGCAGAUAAUAAGCAGACCUCAACAGUAGAGAAGAACAAACACGAGCUCUGAAAAACUCCCAAAGAAUACCAACAGGAAACAAACAUUUGUUCUCAACCUAUGUGGUGCAUAUUAAACAUUCUCCCAAGGAAAAUGUUAUCCGCGUGAGCAUGAGAAAAAGUAUAGUUAUGCAACUGCAGUAAGAUAGCUAACAUACUCUGGAUUAUCUCAACUUCAUACAAUACUCCAUACCAGCACACGCUAUUUCCAGAAAAUUAUCAACAACCGACAGAUAUUGGUACAUAUGGCCAGUAUAUGAUCCAAAGACACAUGUCACUUUCAAGCUUUGCAAGUUAUUAUAUUAACCAGCAGAUGGCACAAUAACGAAAUUCUGGUGCAGCAUAGUACAUACAGAAGUAAUACUGCCAAGUCAAAAGCUCUACAGAAACUUGAAUGCAUUAACAUAUGUGAAGAAAGCACUUUGUAAUGACAAGGUUGAACUCACAGAAUAAGGAGUGGUGUACUGUUGCCCAAGAGCAUCUCCUCCAGAAACCAUCUGCACUCCAGGGGUGGCAUGGAUAAACGCUGGGCUUGAUGGUGCCACAGACCACGAUGCGGGAUUUACUGAUAUAAAUCCAAUCACAAAAUCAGAAUGUUGCUCAGCAAUCUUUACAGCUGCUGCAGUGUAAUCUCCUUGAGCAAGGUUGCCAGCUGAGCUCAUUUCAGCAAGCAAAAGUAGCCCUCUUCCUUUCGGUAAACCCUUCAACACCACAACACAACAGUUACAGUGAGCACUACAAUACACAAGCUAUUUAAAGCUGCAACAUUAACUUCUAUAAUACUCCUCCAUAAAGAAAUAUAAGAGCGUUUAGAUCACUACUUUAGUGAUCUAUUUACUAUUUAUAUAGGACAUUUAAGGUGCAAUAUACCUUAAGCUUCAAACCAUCAACAAUUCCAGGCCCAGGAAUUACAUGGGCAUUAACAAUAUCAGCCCAUUCUAAUAUGCGGAAUAUUCCUCUGAAAUAAAGUAAAAUGUUAUAAGCAUACUGCAUACAUAUGCAAACAGAAAGAGAAGACGAUUUAUAGUGCCUUUUCUCACCCUUCAUAUUGCAUAGUUACUGUGUUACCAAUGUCCGCAAACUUGCGGUCUUCAAAGAUCAAAAAGUUGUGCUUCUCAGCAAUCUAAAAAGAAAAGUAAAGAGCUCCAUUAUAUAAAGAAUGUGACAUUAAGAAGUCCCAGGUAGGACAACACCUUUUGCAUCCUGGACAGUGAUUGACACGUUGUUACAGUAGAAAACAGCUCUAGCAAUUGAUAAAAUAAAUUUAGGUCCUGGUCAUCAAAAAAUAAAUAAACUAAUCUAAGAGAGUAAAUUGCCUUGGUAUCAUAGUUGGUUACAGGUCGAUUGUUUCCAAAUGAGAGGAAGUGGAGGACAUUCAAAUAACAGUACAUAAUGGAUUAAAUAAAUAGCCUCUAAUAAAUACAAGAAUCAAACAUGCUCCCUAGUCCCUAUCAUAAUAGUAUGGAGAAAGUAAUUCCAUUCAUAGACAUGAAGAUGCUACAUCAGAUUUCUGACAAACAAAAUGGGAAGACUAUUGUGGACACUAACAUUUUACUAGUAAACACAAAGAUCCAAAGGUAUCAUCUGAGAGAAGCAUCACUAUCACUGAAAAGAAAAGACGAGAUUGCAUCAUAAGAGAGCAUACCGAGCGAAGCUUUGUGCCAAAGUCAGGUGUAAAAUCUGACAAGAUAUCGACAUGGGUUUUCAGCAUGCAAAUCUCAGAGCCAACCUGCAUAAAAAUUAUAGAAACAUGGGUUAAACCUUGUGUUAAGGAUAGGUUCUGGUGAUGUCACAACACAGCAGCAUCAAAGCGCAGAAAACAUCAUACAUAAUGCAACUGAAAAGGUUGUUAUGAUGUCACCACUCAUUUGGAAACCACCUAGAUUUGUUUCCUACCUAGUUCAUGCACACCUAGAUUUGUUUCCUACCUAGUUCAGGAGACUCUGCUAACUAACACAAGUCCUGUCUUAAUAUUAACAAAUUCCAGAAAUGGCCAUGUCUAUUCCAGGAUUCCAUCCCAAAAGAUAAUUUAACUUGCUGAAGUAAACAUGGUGAAAUCUAGCCCGGAGAAUUGACCUACACAAAUACUCAACAAACUGUACUGCCAUGCCUUGCUGAAAUGGUCAAUUCUGUCGAUGUCAGAAAGCAUAUAAUUAUAUAACUUGGUGAUUUAGAAGUGCCUAAAUCUAACCCAUCAACUGACCAACACCAAUACACAACAAAUCGUAGUGUGGUAUACCUUUUCGGCAAGCUCAAGGAGCUCCUUGGCUGUCCCAACAUCCGCGGAGACGCAGAGGUUGCUCUGCUUGGCCUCCAUCACCUCGAACAGCUUCUUCCCCAUGGGGUUCUUGGCCAAGCCCGCCCUCUCAGGGAACCCCUUCCUGGCCACCUUGGGCUUGGCGGCGCCCGGCACGGUGACCUUCCUGUUGGCAUCUAAAAACUGCUUCACCUCGGCGGCCUUCUCCUCGGUGACCUUGCCGUGCCGGAGCAGCACGGCGAGCACCUCGGUGAGCGUCAUGAGCGAGUGCAGCGUGACCCCGUUGGCCGCGAGGUUCUCCCUCCCGCCCUGCUCGCGGUCGACGACGACGAAGGCGUCCGCCACGACGAGCCCCUCGGCGCGGAGGGGCGCGGCGGUCUCGAGCACGGAGGCGCCGCUGGUGACGAGGUCCUCGAUGAUGAGCACGGUGUCACCGGCGCGGAAGGAGCCCUCGAUGGCCUUGGCGGUGCCGUGGGUCUUGACCUCCUUGCGGCGCAUGAGCAUGGGGAGGCCGCGGUCGACGGAGAGCACGGAGGCGAUGGGGAGCGCCGUGUAGGGCACCCCGCAGAGGAUGCCGUAGGGGCGGGUGGCCGGGAGGGACGAGAGGAGGGAGGCGAUGGAGGCCAGCAGGCGCGGGUGCGAGACGAGCGCGCGCAGGUCGAGGUAGAUCGGGGAGGUGAUGCCGGAUUUCAGCACGAAGG
This 70293-nucleotide long non-coding RNA is filed under the name Triticum aestivum (bread wheat). RNAcentral's name for it is "long non-coding RNA (TAES_LNC000859)". The record is from RNAcentral. Lineage: Eukaryota; Viridiplantae; Streptophyta; Magnoliopsida; Poales; Poaceae.